GUUUUUUUUUUUUUUGGCCGGCCGUGGGAGAGCUUUGUGGUGCUCUAGCUCACCUUCUAUGCACAUGAGGUGUUCAAUGAAAUGCCCGAGCCAUACUUAAGCUUUCUCCUCUCAAAGCUCCUUGUCCAAGCUCCAUUUUCCUCAAGAUUUGUCUAAGUUUGGCGGUCCGUCCUAUCCCGUCCCCAUCCUCACCGCCAUCGAUUGCCCACGCUGAUCUCGUCGCCGGCACCACUGUGGUGAGCCUCUUGAUCUUAUCUUCUUUCUAAAAGCAAAAAAAGUUCUUACUUGUAUGAUUUAGAUAGAUACUUGUGUAAUUUUCUUACUUUUAUUAUUGUUUGUUAUUAUAUAGUGCGAUGGUUUUGGUAUCCGCCUCCGUCGGCCCUCGUCAUGUCUAUGAUUCGGAUGUGGUAUAUAUAUUAUCUUUUAUAACUAUUUGUUUCAUUUAGUGUUUAUGACAAUUAUGCCGACCAACGUGACAUAGAUUUUUUUAUCUAGAAGGUAUGUGAACCGGAAAUUCCAACCGACCCUAUUGUCGAGAGGUUAAAUUUAGUUGAAGAAGAAAACAAUUACUUGAAGAAAAAAUUGAAAAAAAAUUGAGGAGAAGAUGAUAUUGGAGUUGCGUGUUGCAGAUGUCGUCGAUGAUCACAAGAUCAAGAUGGAUGCAAUGCGCUUGAAGUUUGAAAGAUUAGAAAAUAUGCCAUUCAUACUGAGGCUUGGUAUCAUUAUGCCGUUGGAUCAAUUGUUACCUUAGUUGCGAUUAUGAUCGCAUUUCUUGUUGCAUUGAAAUGUUUUAGAUAGUUUCAAUGUAUGGUUUAUUUAGAUGCUCUGGACAGCUAUAUGUUGUUCAAUGAGAACUAUGUAUCUACUUUGGUUUUAAUGUGAUGAUGAACUUCUAUUUAAUUUGGUCACUUAUGUAUUCAUGAUGUUCUGUAAUGGUUUUUGACACACUUAAUUAUAUAUAAUACACGCAGAUGAACCGGCAAUGGAUGUACGGUAAUAGACGCACCUCCGAGUAUAUUAAGGGCGUGCGUAAUUUUCUCAAAGUGGCUGAGGCAAACAAGCAGAAUGGUUUUAUGUGUUGUCCAUGCCCUAUAUGUGGGAAUACGAAGUCUUACUCUAACUGAAAAAUCCUUCACACCCACCUUCUUUAUAAGGGUUUCAUGCCACACUAUAAUGUUUGGACCAAGCAUGGAGAAAGAGGGGUUAUGAUGGAAGAAUACACCAAAGAAGAAGAGGAUGAUGACAACUAUGUGCCCCCUGAAUACGGUGAUGCUGCAACGGGGGAAGCUGAAGAUCAAGAGGAACCAGACGAUGUGCCCGAUGAUGAUCUUCGCCGGGUCAUUGUUGAUGCAAAGAGACAAUGCGAAAGUGAAAAGGAGAAGUUGAAGUUCGAUCGCAUGUUAGAGGAUCACAAAAAAGGGUUGUAACCGAAUUGCAAAGAUGGCAACACAAAGCUCGGUACCACACUGGAAUUGCUGCAGUGGAAGGCAGAGAAUGUUGUACCUGACAAAGGAUUUGAGAAGCUACUGAAAAUAUUAAAGAAGAAGCUUCCAGAGGAUAACGAAUUGUAUGAAAGUACGUACGCAGCAAAGAAGGUUGUAUGCCGUCUAGGAUUGGAGGUUCAGAAGAUACAUGCAUGCCCUAAUGACGGCAUCCUCUACCGCAGUGCGUACGAGGAUUUGAACGUAUGCCCGGUAUGCGGUGCAUUGCGGUAUAAGAUCUGAAGAGAUGACCCUGGUGAUGUUGACGGCGAGCGCCCCAGGAAGAGGGUUCCUCCCAAGGUGAUGUGGUAUGCUCCUAUAAUACCACGGUUGAAAUGUCUGUUCAGAAACAAAGAGCAUGCCAAGUUGAUGCGAUGGCACAGAGAGGACCGUAAAAAAGACCGGAAGUUGAGAGCACCCGCUGACGGGUCGCAGUGGAGAAAAAUCGAGAGAAAGUGGGGGGACUUUGCAGGUAACGCAAGGAACGUAUGGUUUGGAAUAAGCGCGGAUGGCAUUAAUCCUUUUGGGGAGCAGAGCAGCAAUCAUAGCACCUGGCCCGUGACUCUAUGUAUCUAUAACCUUCCUCCUUGGUUGUGCAUGACGCGGAAGUUCAUUAUGAUGCCAGUUCUCAUCCAAGGCCCUAAGCAACCCUGCAACAACAUUGAUGUGUACCUAAGGCCAUUAGUUGAAGAACUUUUACAGCUGUGGAAUGGAAAAGGUGUACGUGUGUGGGAUGAGCACAAACAGCAACCUACAUGCAUUGCUGUUUGUAACCAUCAAUGAUUGGCCUGCUCUCAGUAACCUUUCACGAUAGACAAACAAGGGAUACCACGCAUGCACGCACUGCUUAGAUGACAUUGAAAGUAUAUAUCUAGACAAAAGCAGGAAGAAUGUGUACCUGGGGCAUCAUCAAUUUCUUCCGACCAACCAUCAAUGUCGAAAGAAAGGCAAGCAUUUCAAAGGCGAGGCAGAUCACCGGAAGAAGCCCGCCGUCCGUACUAGUGAUCACAUACUUUCUAUGGUCAAUGUUUUACAAGUAAUCUUUGGAAAGGGUCCCGGCGGACUAUCUGUUCCGAAUGACACUGAGGGACGCGUACCCAUGUGGAAGAAGAAAUAUAUAUAUUGGGGCCUAACCUAUUGGAAAGACCUAGAGGUCCUCUCUGCAAUCGACGUGAUGCACGUGACGAAGAAUCUUUGCAUGAACCUGCUAGGCUUCUUGGGCAUGUAUGGGAAGACAAAAGAUACACUGGAGGCACGGGAGGACAAGCAACGUGUGCACAAAAAAGACGGCAUGCCUCCAAAGCAGUAUGAAGGUCCUGCCAACUACGCUCUUACCAAAGAAGAGAAGGAAAUCUUCUUUGAAUGCCUGCUCAGUAAGAAGGUCCCGUCUGGCUUCUCGUCCAAUAUAAAGGGAAUAAUAAAUAUUCCAGAGAAAAAGUUUAACCUAAAGUCUCAUGACUGCCAUGUGAUUAUAACGCAACUGCUUCCGGUUGCAUUGAGGGGGCUUCGAUCGAAAAUGUUCGAUUAGCCAUUGUGAAGCUAUGUGCAUUCCUCAAUGCAAUCUCUCAGAAGGUGAUCGGUCCAGAAAUCCUACCAAGGUUAAGGAGUGAUGUGGCGCAAUGUCUUGUUAGUUUCGAGCUGGUGUUCCCACCAUCCUUCUUCAAUAUCAUGACUGAUACGUCUCCAACGUAUCUAUAAUUUUUGAUUGUUCCAUGCUAUUAUAUUAUCUGUUUUGGAUGUUCAAUGGGCUUUAUUAUACACUUUUAUAUUAUUUUUGGGACUAACCUAUUAACCGGAGGCCCAGCCCAAAUUGCUGUUUUUUUGCCUAUUUCAGUGUUUCGAAGGAAAGGAAUAUCAAACGGAGUCCAAACGGAAUAAAACCUUCAGAAACGUGAUUUUCUGAACAAACGUGAUCCACAGGACUUGGAGUGGAUGUCAAGCAAUCAACGAGGAGGCCACGAGGCAGGGGGCGUGCCUACCCCCCUGGGGGCGCCCUCCACCCUCGUGGGCCCCUCGUAGCUCCACCGACCUACUUCUUCCUCCUAUAUAUACCUACGUACCCCGAAAACAUCAGGGGAGGAGCAAAAACCCUAUUUCCACCGCCGCAACCUUCUGUACCCGUGAGAUCCCAUCUUGGGGCCUUUUCCGGCGCUCCGCCGGAGGGGGCAUCGAUCACGGAGGGCUUCUACAUCAACACCAUAGCCUCUCCGAUGAUGUGUGAGUAGUUUACCUCAGACCUUCGGGUCCAUAGUUAUUAGCUAGAUGGCUUCUUCUCUCUCUUUGGAUCUCAAUACAAAGUUCUCCUCAAUUCUCUUGGAGAUCUAUUUGAUGUAAUCUUCUUUUGCGGUGUGUUUGUCGAGAUCCGGUGAAUUGUGGGUUUAUGAUCAAGAUUAUCUAUGAACAAUAUUUGAAUCUCCUCUGAAUUCUUUUAUGUAUGAUUGGUUAUCUUUGCAAGUCUCUUCGAAUUAUCAGUUUGGUUUGGCCUACUAGAUUGAUCUUUCUUGCAAUGGGAGAAGUGCUUAGCUUUGGGUUCAAUCUUGCGGUGCUCGAUCCCAGUGACAGUAGGGGAAACGACACGUAUUGUAUUGUUGCCAUCGAGGAUAAAAAGAUGGGGUUUAUAUCAUAUUGCAUGAGUUUAUCCCUCUACAUCAUGUCAUCUUGAUUAAAGCGUUACUCCAUUCUUAUGAACUUAAUACUCUAGAUGCAUGCUGGAUAGCGGUCGACGUUGGAGUAAUAGUAGUAGAUGCAGGCAGGAGUCGGUCUACUUGUCACGGACGUGAUGCCUAUAUACAUGAUCAUACCUAGAUAUUCUCAUAACUAUGCUCAAUUCUAUCAAUUGCUCAACAGUAAUUUAUUCACCCACCGUAAUACUUAUGUUAUCUUGAGAGAAGCCACUAGUGAAAACUAUGGCCCCCGGGUCUAUUUUCCAUCAUAUUAAUCUCCCGUCAACAGGCUAUUUCUGGCGCCGUUUAUUUUGCUUUCUUUACUUUUAGUCUUUAUCAUAAAAAUACCAAAAAUAUUAUCUUAUCAUCUCUAUCAUAUCUCACUUUUGCAAGUGGCCGUGAAGGGAUUGACAACCCCUUUAUCGCGUUGGUUGCAAGGUUCUUAUUUGUUUGUGUAGGUGCGUGGGACUUGAGCGUGGUCUCCUACUGGAUUGAUACCUUGGUUCUCAAAAACUGAGGGAAAUACUUACACUACUUUACUGCAUCACCCUUUCCUCUUCAAGGGAAAACCAACGCAGUGCUCAAGAGGUAGCAAUGACGCACUUCCUAGUUCAUCUAGUCGACGAGAUUGUUGUUCUGGGCCCUGUGUUUCUACACAAUAUGUUCCCCUUUGAGAGGUUCAUGGGAGUCUUAAAGAAAUAUGUCCGUAACCGCGCUAGGCCAGAAGGAAGCAUCUCCAUGGGCCAUCAAACAGAGGAAGUCAUUGGGUUUUGUGUUGACUUCAUUCCUGACCUUAAGAAGAUUGGUCUCCCUCAAUCGCGGUAUGAGGGGAGACUGGCUGGAAAAGGCACGCUAGGAGCAGACUCAACAAUAUGUAGGGACGGGCAUUCUUGGUCUCAAGCACACUACACAGUUCUACAGAAUUCUACCUAGGUGACCCCGUAUGUCGAUGAACACAAGAAUAUUCUGCGCUCCAAACACCCGGAGCAGUGUGACGACUGGAUUACAUGUGAACACAUCAGGACUUUUGGUAGUUGGUUGCAAACACGUCUCAUGGGUGACAACACUAUUUCUGAUGAGCUGUACUCAUUGGCCAGGGGACCAUCUUCGACUGUAUUGAUUUACAAAGGGUACGAGAUAAAUGGGAAUACAUUUUACAUGAUCGCCCAAGAUCAAAAGAGCACCAACCAAAACAGUGGUGUCCGCUUUGAUGCAGCAACCAAGAGGGGAAAGGACACAUAUCAUGGUUACAUAGUGGACAUAUGGGAACUUGACUAUGGACAUGAUUUUAAGGUCUCUUUGUUUCAGUGCAAAUGGGUCAAUCUGUCAGGAGGCGGGGUACAGGUAGACCCACAGUACGGAAUGACAACAGUGAAUCUGAACAAUCUUGGGUACACAGACGAACCAUUUGUCCUAGCCAAUGAUGUGGCGCAGGUUUUCUAUGUGAAGGACAUGUCUACCAAACCGAGAAAAAGAAAAGAUAAGGAAUUCCUCCCUUCAAAGUCAAAGCGCCACAUAGUUCUUUCAGAAAAAAGAGACAUCGUGGGAUUGGAGGGCAAGACAGACAUGUCUGAAGAUUAUGAAAAGUUUCAUGAAAUUCCUCCCUUCAAAGUCAAGCUGACCCAAGCAACCUGUUAAACGAUGAAGAUUAUCCAUGGUUACGGCGCAAUAAGCAAAGGACACAAGCGAAGAAAAAGUGAAGACUUUCUCUCCACAGCUAUUAUGAUGAUGCCUUUGAUCUAGAAUAUCACUGCAGUUACAUGUGAAGAAAUGAAAUGCCUUUUGUAACAGAUGAGUUUCCGUCCGAAACCCUGAUACUUCGAAAGAGAUUGUCCGUUUUGUACACGAAGUGCAUCCAGUUUUUGCCGUAACCCUCUCAACUUUUUAGCACAUGCUAUGUGGGUGAAAUGACGAUACCAUGCCAACUUUCAACCUUUUCACAGUUCAUUUGAAGUGUUUUUCAAUUUCAGGGUCGUUUAGCUCAAAAAAUCAGGAAAUGCAUGAAAAAUACCAAAUGAUGUCAGAAAGGGUUGAAAAUUGAUGAUGUGGCUUUUAAUGGUGCAUUUUGAACAGACAAAAAGUCUGGAGUUCAAAUAAGUUCAAAAAAUGAAAUCCCUUUGUAACAGAUGAGUUUUCGUCCGAAACCCUGAUACUUCGAAAGAGAUUGUCCAUUUUGUACACGAAGUGCAUCCAGUUUUUGCCAUAACCCUCUCAACUUUUUAGCACAUGCUAUGUGGGUGAAAUGAUGAUACCAUCCAACUUUCAACCUUUUCACAGUUCAUUUGAAGUGCUUUUGAAUUUCAGGGUCAUUUAGCUCAAAGAACGAACUAAUAGCAAAAGGAAUCAACUAAAAACAUUUUAUAAACUUCUAGUAUUUUUGAAACUAAAAUUAUAAAAAAUUUAUGCAACUAAAAUUAUCAAAGUAUUUUUUGUUCAAAACAUUAAUAGCAAAAAGAAUUAUCAUAAAUAAUAUUUUUGUUUGAAACUUUAAUAGCAAAAAGAAUUGUCAUAAAGAUUUUUUUGUUAGAAACUAAAAUAACAAAAUAUGUUUUUGAAUAUAAUGAUAAAACACAGUAAUAUUAAAUAGCAGGAAAAAGAGUCACUCAAAAAUCUAUUUUUAUAGUAAAGUUAUUCACAAAAAUUUCAAAGAAUUCGAAUUUAAACUAUUCAAAUUUGAAAACUAAUGGCACUAACAGAAAGUUUAUAAUUUUUGUGACCUAACAGCAAAACGAAUUUAGAAAAUAAAGCAAAAAACAAAAGAAAAUAAAUAAUGCAAUAAACAAAACAAAAAAACUGGAAAAAAAUAUAAAAAAUGCCGCCUAGUGGGCCACCACGGCCUGAAUACAACUAGAAACCCAACCAGCCAGGUGGGCCAGGAUUCAGGCCCGCAGAAGGCCCAGUAGGCCCACAGGCAUAGCAGUGUGCGAUUAGGCCCGUAGGCCUGCAGUUCAGAGGAGUUCGAGAGAGAGGGCGGGGCAGAGCUUAUAAACAAAACCCGACGCGUCUCAGCUAGCGAGGUGGGACUAAACAUCCCAGCGCACCGCGCCAUUUACAGCACAAGGCCAUUGGUCCCGGUUGGUGCCAUGAACAGGGACCAAUGCACCCCUUUGGUCCCGGUUCGUCGCACCAACCGGGACCAAUGCCCACCUUUGGUCCCUGUUCGUGCCACCAACCGGGACCGAAGGUCUUUGCUUCCCGCCCUUUGGGCUGACGAAAAGAGACCAUUGGUCCCGGUUGGUGGCACGAACCGGGACCAAAGGGUAGCAUUGGUCCCGGUUAGUGCCACCAACCGGGACCAAAGGGUUGGGUAUAUAACCAACACUUAGNNNNNNNNNNNNNNNNNNNNNNNNNNNNNNNNNNNNNNNNNNNNNNNNNNNNNNNNNNNNNNNNNNNNNNNNNNNNNNNNNNNNNNNNNNNNNNNNNNNNNNNNNNNNNNNNNNNNNNNNNNNNNNNNNNNNNNNNNNNNNNNNNNNNNNNNNNNNNNNNNNNNNNNNNNNNNNNNNNNNNNNNNNNNNNNNNNNNNNNNNNNNNNNNNNNNNNNNNNNNNNNNNNNNNNNNNNNNNNNNNNNNNNNNNNNNNNNNNNNNNNNNNNNNNNNNNNNNNNNNNNNNNNNNNNNNNNNNNNNNNNNNNNNNNNNNNNNNNNNNNNNNNNNNNNNNNNNNNNNNNNNNNNNNNNNNNNNNNNNNNNNNNNNNNNNNNNNNNNNNNNNNNNNNNNNNNNNNNNNNNNNNNNNNNNNNNNNNNNNNNNNNNNNNNNNNNNNNNNNNNNNNNNNNNCGCCCACUGUGCCCCGCCGCCCCCUGUGAGCACCAUGCCCUGCUCCUGCGCCCCUCCCCUGCCCCGCGCCCCUGCGCCCCUGCCCUGCCCGCCGGCGCCGCCGUGCCCCUCCGCCAGCUUCCUUUUUUGUUAUAUAUACAUAUAUGCUAUUUUUAGAUGUUUUUACAUGUUUUUUUAGAUGUAUAUAUAUGAAAACUUGGUCUAUUUUUUUGUAGUAUAUAUAUGAAAACUUGGUCAAUUUUUUUUAUAGUAGAUGAUGAUGAUGAUAUGAUGAUAUAUGAAAACUUGGUCAAUUUUUUUGUACUAGAUGAUGAUGAUGAUGAUGAUGUGAUGAAAUAUGAAAACUUGGUAAAUUUUUUCUGUUGUAAUUUUGUUCGAUGAUAUAUGAUGAUGUAAUUUUGUCGAUAUACCCCCUCCUCAAUAACUUCGACAUGAGAGGGGGGUCGAUAUACCCCUCCCCGAUAACAUUUUUUUUAAGUUACUAAGGUAAAAUGUUCAUCCCCCUCUUGCUAUACCGGGCGACCAACUCUCGAGGCCAUCCAAACCCUAGAAAAAAAGUGUUGUCGAUAUUCUACCCCCUCCCGCCCCUACCCGACAAACUCUCGAGGCCACCCAAAACCCUAGAAGAAAACUCCGGUAACUUCGACAUGAGGGGGGACGUCGAUCAACCCCCUCUCGCCCGAACAAGUCUAUGUAUCAUUUUAUAUCGCGGUGGACAUAUAUCAAAGUUUGCUCAUAUGUCAAAGUUUGAAUUUUGACAUAUGCAACAUUUGAUCUAUGUCAAAGUUUGAUCAUAUGUCAAAGUUUGAAUUUUGACAUAUGCAACAAUAUUUGAUCAUAUGUCAAAGUUUGACUUUUGGCAUAGAUUUAUCAAGAAUGCCCCCAUUAUGGAUGNNNNNNNNNNNNNNNNNNNNNNNNNNNNNNNNNNNNNNNNNNNNNNNNNNNNNNNNNNNNNNNNNNNNNNNNNNNNNNNNNNNNNNNNNNNNNNNNNNNNNNNNNNNNNNNNNNNNNNNNNNNNNNNNNNNNNNNNNNNNNNNNNNNNNNNNNNNNNNNNNNNNNNNNNNNNNNNNNNNNNNNNNNNNNNNNNNNNNNNNNNNNNNNNNNNNNNNNNNNNNNNNNNNNNNNNNNNNNNNNNNNNNNNNNNNNNNNNNNNNNNNNNNNNNNNNNNNNNNNNNNNNNNNNNNNNNNNNNNNNNNNNNNNNNNNNNNNNNNNNNNNNNNNNNNNNNNNNNNNNNNNNNNNNNNNNNNNNNNNNNNNNNNNNNNNNNNNNNNNNNNNNNNNNNNNNNNNNNNNNNNNNNNNNNNNNNNNNNNNNNNNNNNNNNNNNNNNNNCUAUAUGUCACGUUGUCUGUCAAAGUAUUGAAGAAAUUCAUGGCUUCAUCAUUAGCCGGAAGUAACAGGCGUAUGAUGCUACGAAGCUCUUCAAAGUUGUUUUGGAACAGAGUUCCGGAUAGAAUAAUUCGAUUUUUGGUACGAAUUUCAGCAAAGGCCCUCCAAAUAGCGAUAUUCGGAAGGCUCUUGCUGAACUUCAUACCAAAUAGCUAAUUAUCCUAUCCAGGACUUCGUUCCAAAACAAUUUUGGAGAGCUUCGUACCAUUAUGCGCCUGUUACUUCCGGCUAAUGAUGAAGCCAUGGUUUUCUUGAAUCCUUUGACACUAGACACCCCAGCUUAGAGAAACCAGAACGCCCCGUAUUCCAGCCCAGAGAUCGAGGAGAAGUCUUCUGGAAUACGGCACUGCUUAGCAUAAAACAAAUCAGCUCUUUAUUACAAUCCAUAUUGGGUACAAGAGGAUUACAUCGGCAUGGCGACACUACGCCUACCACGGUUGCUCUAUGCAAGCAGCAGAACAACACGAAGCAGCGGAAUAACUUCUAACAGCGGAACAACGACGACGGUGGUGAACUCCACUCUGCAUGGACUCUGACUGGAACGCUUGUCCUAGCUCGCACACAAGGAAUCCACGGCAAACAAGCAAUCAAAUUCGGCAUGUCCUACAAACUGGCAUGACACGCCAGGUCAGUACAUUGAAUGUACUUGCAAGCUCACAACAACUAGAAGCAAUCAAGACAAACAACAGCAUGGCAAUUACAGGUUAACAAGGAUUAACAUGGUAAUAUCAGGAUAACAUGGCAUGAACAACAUGAACAUGAUACAGCGAGAACACUACGAACAUGGCAUGGACAUAUGAACAUGAUGAUACUAUUAUGCACCAACUUACUCUGCUCGGGUUACCUUGUAACCAUCACAUGCAUAAGCUUACCAUCACGGACACCACACGAUCAUCUCAGGAUCCAAUCAAGCUUGGUAUUACCAUACCGUAGUGAUCAUUACAUGACCACAAGGAGCUUGAUCUUUACCUGUGAUUCUCGCACAACAUCGCAAAUAACCAUCAACUCGGUAUCCACGAUACCACGGUGAUCCUCUCACGAUCACAUAACGAACUUCUUUCAUCAUCGAACCGGGGUUGUUAUUAAGCACAUUAUUAUUAUUACUGUUGACCCAUAAUGUGACCAACUAUGAACUAGGCCCUUAUCCGCAGGCGCGGCUAUCGAUAGAAUGAAAACACACUCUGCAGAGGUUAGCACGAUGUACCCACAUCACGGAACCCACGGCCUCGCACUCCCAUUCGGGUGGACCAACGGCGUUCCGACAAAACCGUCCUACUGCCAUGACACUCUCCCGGCCACUCCGACUAACUCCCCACUGGGCUAAGUCAUGGGUGGCCCCGUGCCUACCAAAGGCAUCAACGGCCACCGUCGUGGCAAAACAUAAACGGUCCCAAACGGGGACAAUGGUAUACCAAUCACAACAACGGGCACACAAGGCUUAUGUCCGCCUACCUGAUCAGGGUAGCGCGCGCCCAUAACCUUCCCUCGUUGGAGGCACCGGCGAGAGGCAUGACAAUAGACCUAGUUAGGACCCUCCCAUAAAAGGCAAAUGUGGUUGCACUAGUCAACUCGAUUUGGUGGCACCAUGACUCAGCCAACAGUUGUUCAAGUUCAUUUAAGUCCGGUUAAACUUGAAUGCAAUAAGCUGAGCCAUAUUAAAAUAACAUGAUGCAACUACAAUGCAUGAGCAUGAUAUCAAUAUAAGCAUGGGGGUGCAACAUAACUAUCAACCAUAUCAACAAAGAAUCAUAUCCAACUGAGCAUGGCAUAAUGACGAGCAUGAAUAUCACAAGUAUAACACUACUCAUAGCAUAACAUGACCACAAGCAUCAACAAUAAAUACCUUGCAAGAACACAUCAAUAACAUUACCGAGUAAGCACUUAACCAACUAACGGCAAAGGAACAAUGCAUACCAACGGUACUCGAUAACCGACAAUAGUCAUGCACCGAAGAACAUGACCAACCCAACAUGUACUACUGGCAAGCAUGAACAUAUGAAUGUAAUACUAGCAAGUAGAACAUGAUAACUAGGUGCAUAUGAACAUAGCAUGAAAGUAAACACAGAUCCAUAAGCAGCACCGAAACAACGAUAACCGUAUCAAAACAAGCAGACAUCUAUUAAAUAUUCAAGUUGAAAACCAUUCCUACUACAUGGCCAUCAUGCAAGUGGGUGUUGUGGCUUGCCUAGGGAUGAAGAAUACACCGGGGGAGAUGUGCGGUGUAGCCGCGGAAAGAUUCGCCGGAAACACUUCUCUCUCGAAGGGGGCUGUUUACGGGCAAGGGAAAAAUGGUCAUUUCCGGUAUGUCAAACCAUAGUGAAAAUGAUGAGAACAGAACGGGCUCGACAAGAUGAAGACAUAGGAGUUGGAAUCACCUCGAUCGGAGUUACGGCCGUUCGUUCGUUAGGCAGAAAAAUAAAUAAAAAGUAUUCUUUUUCUGCGCUAACGGGUGAACAUUCAUAACUUAGAGGUUACGGCCGGCGGCUGGAAAAACAGAAAGCGUAUUUUGAGAAAUACGAUUUCGCAGAAGAGAAAGCGUAAAGUGCAAUGAAGAAGCACAGAAGUACGCUUACUCGAAGGGAAAGCGUAUUUACAUAAAUACGUCUCCACUUAUCCCAGUCAGCAGUGGCGGGGCCGGCUCCUGUGUGGCUGACAGGUGGGACCGGGGUGACGCGGGGCCCACCCGCCCUGGCCUUCUUCCUCCUCCCGCGUACGCGCGCCUGGCCGAGGGAGGAGCUCACCCCGACGGUGAUUGCCGGCGGCACAGGUCACCUCAGUCGGCGCCCGGCCUACUGGUGUGUUCAAGAUGGCAAGGCGCACCCACUGGUGUACAACACGACCAGCAGAGAGGACGGUAGCGAGCAGAGGUGUGGCCAUGGCGGACGGCGAUGUCGGGUGAUGAGGGGCAGGGUGCUCCGGCGGCGAGAAUACGGAGCAAGGGCUCGAGAGAGCUUCGCCGGGGUUGGUGAGUUCCAAAGGUGAAGAAAAGAGGGAAGGAGGUGGUCGGAGCUGCGCCAAUUUAAGCGGAGCACCGCGGCGGCCAUGGCGGCGGUGAGAGGCUAGGAGAGCUUCCCGAGCUCGUUGGAGAGGCUGGGCGGGGUAUUGGGAGGUUGUGGAGGCGAGAGGUGAGCUCGGACGAGGUCGGGGAGGUCUAUUUAUAGCCGAGCCGAGGCGGUUGGCCGCGGACGCGUGGCCGUGGCUCGGGCGCCGCCGUGCACGUCCGGCCGAGGCUCUGUCGGCCGCAGAGGUCACGGGGAGGCCCGGGAAGAUGACGAGGGGGAAGAGGACGAGGGUCAGAGGCUCACGGAGACGAGUGGCGCUCGGGAACAUGAGGAGGAAGGGGACACGGCCGAGGAAGAUGACGCGGUCAUGGGCCGGAACUGUGCAGCGACGAUGAUGGCUCACCGGGGAAGCAAACAGAGGGGGAGAUGGCUCCAGGAGGACGGCGACGACGCGGGGAACACGCUAGACAUGCCCGUGCUCGCUAAGACACCAAGCAGAGGAGGGGGCUGAGCAAGAAUACGCUCUGUGCUCGGCCAGUGCGUGCCAAAACGAUGGUCACCACGCAGGCUGGCAAUAAGAAGACUCCACGGGCUGCCGUGAGAUGUCUGGUGAUUAGUCCCUGCAUCACCGAGCCUGAGGGAGGUGAUGUAUCAAGCAGAGGGGCUCUGGAUCGAUGGGAUUACUCCACUGAAGUUUGUUAUAUCAAACUGAAUCAGGUUACGGUGAUCAACAGCAAAGAGGUUGGAGCCAAAUGAGUUGUCUGGGGUGUUUAGGAUAGGAAGUACAAGAAUCCUAUGAAGUUUGGAAGGAAAUGGACAAAUAUAUAACAUAGUUGCUUUGCAACUGACCAAAAUGGUCCAGAAUAGAGAUUAUGAUGAUGCACUCAAAUGAAGAAGCCACUUGAGCUGAAAUUUGGCAUGGCAGUGUUAUCUGGCCAUAUGAAGAUGCUGUAAAAAUUUCAUACCAAGUGGAUAAACCAAAAUGGUACUUGCUUCACAAUCAUCUCCUUUAGACAGAAAGUUGCAAAAAUUCUAGAGGAAUAUUGGCUUGAUGAAUUGAUCCCAGAAUUGAUGGGGAUAGGUUAAAUGGAUAGAAGAAGGUUCUGGAAAAUUUUCAGCCAUAGUGUAGCAAAGUAAAAUAUACUUGCUUCACAAGCUGAAAAUUUUGACAGAAGCAAAGAUUUGAUCAUGGGCUCACAUAGAUCAAAGGAUGGAGCUAAACUUUUGAGGAGUGGGAUAAUAUGAGCACAUGAAUGAGUGUGCAAAAUUUCAACUCAUUUGGGUUAUCCUAGUUAGUACUUCCUUCACAAUGCAUUCCCUCAGACAGGAACUUUGAAAAAUUGCUCAGGAAUAUUCACAAGGCAAAUUGAGUUGAAUUUUGGCAUGAGGCAAUUAUUUGGACAUGAAAAGGAGUCCAAAAAGUUUUGGGUCAAUUAGGCAAAGGUAAAUGGCACUUGCUUCACAAACUGCCAUUCAGGACAGAAUAGGGAAGGAAUUAAUUGAGCAUGAUGGGAAACAUGGCCAAUGAAAUAUUUUUGCCAUAUUUGAGGAAGAUAUGACCCAAAUAAUUUAUGAGAAUUAUUUGGGAAUUUUAGGAGUGAUGGAAAUAUAGGUUGCUUCACAACCUAGGACAAAUUGGGUUAUUCCUUUAACAGAAAAAGGAAUAUUCCCAAGGAAAAGAUUAUUGGGGUUGGUCCAAGAUGGAAAUGGAAAGGUCUAGGGAUGGAUAAGAGGAUGACAAGCCACUCUGGAAAGAAAUAAGAGGUCAUCUUCUUCAAUUUCCAGACCACAUAGCCACGGAAAAAGAAAACUCAAGCAAAAAUCUCAGAAAAUAAAUGAAAAAGAAAAGGGCCAAAAAUCAGGCUGUGACACCCCACCCCCCACCCCCCUUCAAAAAAGCAAAAACCCCUGCUCCUGCCAGCUGCUGAAGCGUGGAUGCCUUUUGGUCCCGGUUGGUGUUACCAACCGGGACUAAAGGUGCUCCUGCCUGGGCGCCCCGCAGCGGCCACGUGGAGCCCCUUCUGUCCCGGUUCGUAAGCAAACCGAGACUAACGAUUUUGGGCUUUAGUCCCGACCCAUUAGUCCCGGUUCCAGAACCAGGGCUAAUGGGCCUCUAGAACCGGGACAAAUGGCCCGUUUUCUACUAGUGAAAAGUAGUACUCCAUUGCUUGUCAACACUUGGGUCAUAUAUCAACACAUCAGUGAACCGUUUACAAGCCUCCAGUACUAUCACCUGUAACGAUUCAUCCCAAAACAGCCCAAGACCACCACUUCUUCCCUCAGGGUCCACUCCUCUGAACCCUCGGAGACCGAUUCUCCAUCUUAGCUUUUCCACUUUCACAGCAGCCUGUCUCGCCUCGCAAAGAAAGACGAGCUUGGGGUGAUUGGCCCUUGAUAGGGCCAACAGGUCACGAACUGUCCAGCGGUUACCCACCCCCUGGCAGUUCCAAACUAGGUGAUUCAUUGCGUCUGGCGGUCCUCCUCGUGGGAGGCCGCCGAUGUCUCAUUCUCAUCAUUGCCCUUCAUAAUCUUUGCCCUCUUGCUGCCAUUACUACUCGUCUGCGAGUUACUCUUCUUUUGAUCCACACCACUGCCCUCCGUAAUGGCCAAUAGAACCUUAGGUUGGUUAGGAAGACUAGAAUUCGCUGCAUCAGCAGCAUCCAUGUGGAGCCUCUUCCUUGGAUCCUUAUCAACCUCCAUCCUCACUCCAAGAUGCUUAACCGGGCUUGAUGAUGUAUCUACAGUCUCAGGGUCAAUUUCCUCCUAUGACUUGGUCUGGGUGUCAGGGUCCGCCGCCUUCUUCCUCGCCUUAUCUUUCUGCUCAGUGUUCGGUUGCUGCUUCUGCUUCUCGCUCCCUCGGCCGAGGUUCUCAGCUCUUGGUCUAUUCGGUCCAUCCGCAUACAACCAGGGCCCAAACUUCAUGUUUUUCUCAUCAUGGAUACCUGAACCACACUCCUUGCAAUCAUGCCCGAUCAAACCACACAUGCUACAGAAUCUAGCCAACUUCUCAUACCGCACCAAGAACACCUGCCGUUCCUUCCCUCUGACAAUACUGACAAACUUCGUGAGGGGUUGGCGGAUGUCAUGGCGAACCCUAACCCUCACGUAGUCACCUCGGGUAUUCCCGUUCAACCUCAUCUCCUGAAUCUCCCCGGAGUUCCGCAACAGUGAUUCCACAAUAUUCCUCUUACAAAAGCCAUUCGGUAGCUUGUGAAUCUGAAGCCAGAUUGGCAUGAACAGCAUCGGUACCUCCUCCACCUUCGUGAAACCAUCAUACGGGCACAUAAGUACCAGCCAAUUCCUGAAGAGCCAAGGCCCCUGAUCCACCAUGCACUCCCAAUAUCCAAGGAAAGACGCCUGCACGACGAACAGGUUCGGUCCAACGGGCUUAAACCUAACAUGCUUCGUUGGGUUCCAGGUUGCACGCAUGUCCUUGUAGAACGCCGUCAGGCUGAAAGUUUUUUCAGUGUGAACCCUAGCUAGGGCUAACCAUCUAACUGCUUCAUUGAUCGCUGGAUCAUCCUCCUCGGUCACUAGGUCAUAGAAUUAUUCCUUGUCCAGGUUGAGUUGCUCCAUAAAAUCAUCCAGAUCCUGAUUCCUGGCGGCGCCGCCACCACCGCUGGUCCCUGACAGGGCGUCCGCCACCGUUUCCAUCGACUACUGCCGUGAAGGAGCGCGCGAGCCACCGGGGGGAGGUUCGCAGGCCACGAUCUCGCGAUCCCUAGCGGGGGCAGGCUGCGAUCGAACGUAGGUACUCUCUGGCGAUGGAGUCGCUAGGGAGGAGACAAAACCUGGCGUUAGCGUAGGGGAAACCAAUAUGUUUGAUCUUGCCAUGUAUAUUAUUAAUUACAUGAUGCAUGACAUUUAGUACAUGAUAAAAGAUAAUUACAUAAUGAACAUUUUGCUAUACACGAUGAAUAUUUUAUAAUUACAUGAUGAACAACUUUUUGAUUUGUGACAAUCAUUUUCUGAAAAUAGACAAUGUUUUGAAAAAAGAUAGGAGGAACCUAUUCCGAAAGAAAAAAAGAAAACAAUAUUAAACAAACAUUUGGAGCACAUGGAAAAACAUCACAUGAUAGACUUUGUGAAGUAGACGAAGAUUCUUUUAAAAUAUAAUGUGUUCUGAAAAUAGCUGGUGAAGAUUUUUUCAAUACAGUGAAUACAUUUUAAUGCGGAUACACAAAACAGUUGAAACAUACAUAACGAUUUUACAUCCAUGAACAUUUUCCUUUUUUUAAGGGGAAUAUAUUAAUAUCAUGCAGAUACCAAUUACACCCAGUCUCUGCACCUAUAAAAUGUCGCAAAGACAUCCAGGAUGCACACAACCAAAGAUAAAUAGAAAAGAAAUAAAAAAACAAAGGUCCCGCCACAGCGACCGAUUUCUCUCAGUAGCCGCACAUAAACCACCACCAAAUACAGCACGCGAAAACAUAAAAGGUCUCCAAAAGCAAUGCUUCCGAGAAGGAAACAGUGCACAAGCAUCAUCGUUGCCCUAUCCAAGAUCUUACAUUUUCACCAGGGAGAAGUCUGAGCUCUUAAAACAAUUCCUUCAGCAAGGCAAUUACCAGGCACAACUAAUGAAGGUCAUACCUUAGAUUUUUCACCCUGAAAGUCACAGCUCGGCACCCGAGGAGCACCCAAGGAAUAUUUUGUUGCAUGCAGAAAAAAUUUCUUUUUCUUAAAAAUCUAAAUUCCAUUACAAAGAAUGAAGAGUAAAAUCAAAAAUGUUAAAAGAACCCAAGAAAAGGGGAACCAUCACCACAGAAUGAGCAAUCCACGUAAAAUAAUUUUUAUUUUGACGAGGGCUAUGAAAAAUAUAGAUUGUCUUUAAGUUUAGGGAAAAUAUAAAUGCAAAGGCCACACGCUCGUCUCUGGGUGUCCUACUCGUUGGCCCACCACACCCUAUUCAUCGCCAUAAGCGCGAAAUCACUAAUUAAGGAGUACUCCUUCUAACUAUCACUUCCAUCUCCCCAGGUUGCGAUAAGUGGCGUGCUACAUAUGCGUCACUUAUCGCAACUUGGAAGUUGUCCCUUUUUUGUCGAUUCGUUUAUUCAAAAUGAUUAUCUCUUAAACCGUGUGUUCAAAUCUCGAACCGUUUUCACCAUUGGAUUUCUCGCAUCAAGAUCUUCAAAAUUAGAUCUCAUGUUGAUAGGUUUUGAAGAAAUUUUCUCACGAACAAAUCCAGACAAAAACGGGAUCGGGAACACUUUUCUUUCGUUUCCGAGAGGCACAGCCGUGCCUCUCGCGGAAGCAAAACCGUGCCACUCACGAAAGCAAAAUUUUGACUCUCACAAAAAAAAGAGAAACAUGUUUUUCCCCGUUUCCGAGAGGCACUGCCGUGCCUCUCGCGGAAGCAAAACCAUGCCUCUCGCAGAAGCAAAACCGUGCCUCUCACGGAAGGAAAAAAACAUGUUUUUUCAUUUCCGAGAGGCACAGCCGUGCCUCUCGCGGAGGAAAAACCGUGCCUCUCGCGGAAACAAAACCAUGCCGCUGGCAGAAGCAAAACCGUGCCUCUCGCUGAAGGAAAAGAAACGCGUUUUUUCGUUUUCGAGAGGCAUGGCCAUGCCUCUCGCGGAAGCAAAACCAUGCCUCUCACGGAAGCAAAACCGUGCUUCUCGCGGAAGAAAAAAAGAGAAAACUCAUUUUUUUUUCCGAGAGGCACGGUGAUGCCUCUCGCAGAAGCAAAACCAUGUCCCUCGCGCAAGCAAAACCGUGCCUAUCACGAAAAGGAAACGUAUUUUUCACCUAAAAAUCCAAAAUGAAAUUUGGUCCAAAAGCUAAGGAAGGCCGGUGAAAAACCGAAAACCCAAAAAAAUCUAAAAGGCAGCAAACCUAUGCGGAAAAAUAAAAUUAAAAAAAAUUCAGAGGAAGUGCCCAAAGCGCGACAUGUGGCGGCGGCUGAGAGUGGCGCGCUCUCAGCCCAUCCCCAAGUGACCUUUGGGGAGGCUGAAAACGAGCUCUCUUCAGUUAGUUGCUCUCCCAAAAGCAUCGGUUUCUACUUUUUUUUUAGAAAAAACAGACACUUCGUUCGACCUUGGGCCCGGGCCCAUUUGUUCUUCGUGCCGCACGUUUGUUUUUUCCCAUCAGUUUUCUCGACCUUUGUAUUUAUCUUUUAGGACCAUUCUUUAUUCUGUAUUUUUGGUUUUCGUAUUUCCUUUUUAUUUUUAUAAUUUUUUACCUUAAUUUCAUCUUUAUUUUUAAAAUUUUAUUUUUAUCUUCAUAUUUUCCCUUUUUAUAAUUUCGUUUUUCAAAUUCUGGUUUUUUCCUAAAUUGUGGUUUUUAUCUUUUUAUUUUUAUAAUAUUUUUAAAUUUAUGAAAAAAUAACUCGCGAACAAUACUCCAAAUUAGUAAACAUGUUUCCAACUCUGCAAACAUUAUUCAGAUCCAUGAACUUUUUGGAAAUGCGUGAACUUUUUGGGUCCGUGAGUUAUUUCCUAAAUUCACGAUCUUUUUAGAAUUCAUGGACACUUUCUAAAAUCAUUAAGUUUUUUCUCAAAGCAUGAACUUUUUUCAAAUUCACGAAAUAUUCAAAUUUCUAGGAUGUUUUUUCAAAUUCAGAGAAAGAAAUCAGGUUCGCAGACUUUUUCAAGUUUGUUAAAUUUUAGGAAAAUGGUGAAAAAGUAUUUAGCAAGUUUUUCAACAGACGUUUAAAAAACUAGCUACUUCGCACAGCAAGGAAUGCAAUUGGGUGGGCCACUCGGAUUUACUGUUCGACCACGAAAAACGUUAAAAAAACACUGUAGCACCCGGUACUGUAAAGUAUAUUAUAAUGUCCUUUUAUUUGCUCUGCUUUUAUUUUGAACAUUUUUUCAAUUAUUAAUAAAUAUACUGAACAAUUUUUUAAUACUUUUGUAAUAUAUGUUGAACAAUUUUUACGAAUACACAUUGAACAUUUGGGUAACAUACGCUGAACAAACUUCUAAUACACAGUGAAUAUUGUACUAUUUCUUGAACAAUUUCCUACUAUGCGGUGAACAUUUUCUUAAAACGUGAUGAAGUUUUUUUGUAAUAAACAGUGAACUUUUGUAUAAUACACAAAAACAAAAAAGGAAAAAGGAAAAGAAAAGAAAUAGAAACCGAAAAUACAAAAAUAGAAGAAACAGUGAAGCCAUCUGUGGCCCGGCCCAUCCUAGGCCGUGUGGAGGGACUCGCGUUAAGCGAGACAGGAGGGAACCUCAGGAGCAACUAGUUGACGAGCGCUCCUUCGGGUGCCUCGCAACGAUCACUUGCGGAUGGGCUGAGAGUGUGUCACUUGGCGCGCACUCAGCCGCCGUCACGUGUCGCGCUAUGGGCGCUCCCUCCGGAUUUUUUUUAUUUUUUCGCAGGCGUUUUCAGCUUUUUAAACGGGGUUUUUUGACUUUUGGGUUUUCCAUCGGUCUUUCUUAGCUUUUUGACAAAAAAACGAAAACAAAUUUUUGCGUGAAAAAAACAUGUUUUUUGUUGUUUCCGCAAAAGGCACGGUUUUGAUUUCCCGAGAGGCACGGCCGUGCCUCUCGGAAACAGAAAAAAAAACGUGUUUUCAGUUUUUUUUUCUUCCGCAAGAGGCACGGUUUUGCUUCCGUGAGAGCCACCAUUGUGCUUCUGCGAGAGGCACGUUGUGCCUCUCAGAGACGAAAAAAAACAUGCUUUUUUGUUUUUUUCCUUCCGCAAAAGCCACGGCUGUGCUUUCGCGGGAGGCUCGGAAACAGAAAAAAAAUGUGUUUUCUGUUUUCUCCUUCCGCGGGAGGCACGGUUUUGCUUCCGCAAGAGGCAUGGUUGUGCUUCCACGAGAUGCACGGCCGUGCCUCUCAGAAACGAAAAAAACAGUUUUUUUCUUCCGCGAGAGGCGCAUUUUUGCUUCCGUGAGAUGCAAGGUUGUGUUUUAGUGAGAGGGACGGUUGUGAUUUCGCGAGAGGCUCAGAAACAAAAUAAAUGUGUUUUCGUGCUGUCGGUACGGUUUUUUGUCCGAUUUUUUCUCCGGUUUUUUCGUAUAAAAAAAGUUCGUCAAAACCUACCAAGAUGGAUCUAGUUUUGAAAAUCUCGACACGAGGAAUCCAACGGUGAAAACUGUUCGAGAUUUAGACGCACGGUUUAAAAGAUAAAAUAUUUUUAAUAAACGGAUAUACGGAAAAAGGAAAACUUCUAGGUUGCGACAAGUGGCGCACAUGCAGCGCAUCAAUUGUCACAACCUGACAAGUUAGGAGUGAUCUUUGCAAGAAGUACUCCUCAAUUAGUGAUCUCGGGGAACCCUCGCUGAAGGGAACCGCCAAUCAGGUUGCCCAGGCGUGUGGGAAACAGCGGCCAUGUUUUCUGUUUUUUUUCAUGUUUUUUGUUUUCUUUUUUUCUUUCUUUUUUUUACUUUUAUUUAUACUUACAAAUAUUCUAAAUAAAUAUAUUACAAAAAUAAUUCUUCAUAAAAACAUUUGAAAAUGUUGACCAAGCAUUUGAAAAAUGUUAAAUGUGUAUAGAGAAAAUGUUUAUCAAAUAUAUGAAAAAUGUAUACAAAAAAGUUAUUCGGUCAUUUGAGAAAAUUUUGAACAAGUGAAAUGUUGACAAUGUAUUUCAAAAAUGAUGAAACAACUUUGAGCAUGCAUAUAAAAAUUGUUAAUCAACCAUUUGAAAAAAUGUUGAACAAGUAUUUAAAAAUUGUGAAAUACGUAUAGAAAAAAUGUUGACCGUGUAUUAAAAAAUGAUGAAAAAAUUUGAUCAUGAAUAGAAAAAUGUUAAUCAAGCAUUCGUAAAAAUGUUGAACAAUUAUAUAAAAAUGGUAAUCAAGCAUUUGAAAAAAUUUAAUAUGUAUAGAAAAAUGUUGACCAUGUAUUAAGAAAUGAUGAAUUUUUUUUAUCAUCAACAUCAAAAAAUUAACAAAGCAUUCGAAAAUAUGUUGAAAAAUUAUUUGGAAAUUUUGCUCAAGCAUUUCAAAAAUGUUAAAUUUGUAUAGAAAAAAUGUUGACCAUGUAAUUAAAAAUGAUAAUUUUUAUAAUAUAUAUAUCAAAAAUGUUAAUCAAGCAUUUGAAAAAAUGUUGAACAUGUAUUUGAAAAUUUUAAUCAAGCAUUUAGAAAAUGUAAAAUGUGUACAGAUAAUAUGUUGACCAUGUGUUCAAAAAAGUUAAUAUUGCAUUUUGAAAAAAGUAGUCAAGCAUUUUAUGAAAAUGUUAAUAUGUGCAUAGGAAAAAUGUUAAUCUUGUAUUUGAAAAAUGUUGAUGAAGCAUUUGAAAAUUGUUAAAAAUUUGUAUAGAAAAAAUGUUGACUAUGUAUUAAAAAAUGUUAAACUUAUAUUGAAAAAAUGAUAAAUGUGUAACAGAAAAAUGUUGUUUACAUAUACAAAAAUGUAGAAUGAAAANNNNNNNNNNNNNNNNNNNNNNNNNNNNNNNNNNNNNNNNNNNNNNNNNNNNNNNNNNNNNNNNNNNNNNNNNNNNNNNNNNNNNNNNNNNNNNNNNNNNNNNNNNNNNNNNNNNNNNNNNNNNNNNNNNNNNNNNNNNNNNNNNNNNNNNNNNNNNNNNNNNNNNNNNNNNNNNNNNNNNNNNNNNNNNNNNNNNNNNNNNNNNNNNNNNNNNNNNNNNNNNNNNNNNNNNNNNNNNNNNNNNNNNNNNNNNNNNNNNNNNNNNNNNNNNNNNNNNNNNNNNNNNNNNNNNNNNNNNNNNNNNNNNNNNNNNNNNNNNNNNNNNNNNNNNNNNNNNNNNNNNNNNNNNNNNNNNNNNNNNNNAAACAUGUAGAAAGAAUAAAAAAGAAUGAAAGCAAAACAAAAAACGGAGAAGUAAAAAGAAAAGAAACAAAAAACGAAAAUAGCAUUGAAACCCGAAGAAACAAAUGAAAAAAAAAUAAUAGCCCCUAGUAUACGUCGAAUCCUCGGGAUAUCCGAGGUCGAACAAGGAACAAUUCGGCUUUUUUGAAAAAGGAAAGCCCUUCGUUCUACACGGACAACCGCUACCGGUCGUAUAGAGUUUGACGUUGCGGUCGGUUCGCCGAAUAGUUUACGCUUGUUGUGACAGUCAACUUUCGGCUUUCUCCAACUGAGGUACUUGACCGGUUAAACCUGAAGUUACAAUCAUAGCGGUGCUCCCUUUACCUCCUAGUCAAACAAAGCGGAACGUAAGAGGUAAGCACAGGAGCCGAGCAACCCAGCUAUUAACCAAAGACACAACUCAAAACUGAUGCAUAUAAUGCGAAAUACCGAGGAUGUGGGGCCGAGGUCUUCUCUAUAGUACCUCGGAUGUUACAGGGUGUCGGCUUGAUUCUACAGCCCCCCAUAAGGUUCGAUGGCGCCUUAAAGGCAUCCAUCACCUGCAUCGUUUACAGUUGUGUUUCAAGAGAAGGAUAAAAGGAUGUGACAUCGGGCCCUCUCUUAUAAAAAGGAUCGAACCAAUCUGAACUAUAACAUAAAGGAUACAAGAUAUCUAUAUGAAAGAUAGGCGAGAAGGGCAGCGCGGCUAGUUAUCGGAUGGUGGGCUUGACGUCCUUUAUUGUCCUGCUGGCGUGCAUCCUCCAUCAUGUUAAACAGCAGUUCCUCAUCGAGUCCGAGGAAAGACAUCUCACUUGUGAAGGGACCCGUCGUUUCUUGAAUUCAUUUGAAAUGGUGAUGUAGCUGAGGUUUAUUGAAUUCGGAUCAAAUGCCAUUCGUAGUCACCCCCGGCCGAGUCUUCCCUAUGAUUAAGAGCAGGGCGUGAAUUUACCGCCGGGGGUGCAGGAAAACAUGUCAGAUUACCUGACCCGUUACCCAGGAUGCUGUGAUCCACCACCUCCCAUGGGAUUUUCAACAUAAAGUUGUGUAUCUGAGGGACACAAACCUCGGUCAUGGAAAUGGGCCAGUGGAGCGCACGGCCUUAUUUGGGGUCACCCUUUUUGUGCGCCGAGGUGAAGUGUAGGUGAAGUUUACACUUCUUGAACACUUCAUGUGGCUCUGGCCGCUUGACACUGCUCGCGCUCUUGAUGCUUCCUCAGUCGCGAAGGCCACUGUAUGUUCCGCGAUUCGGACGGAGCGUUCCGUAUUUCCAUUGACUGUAAUGACGGCGUUCAGCCCUGGCAUCUUAAGCUUUCGAUAAGCAUAGUGAGGGACAGCAUGGAAUCGAGCGAAGGCGGUCUGUCUGAGGAGUGCGUGAUAACCACUUCCAAAGGGUACGUUGUCGAAGAUUAAUUCUUCGCUGCGGAAAUUAUCGGGUGUGCCAAAUACAACAUCCAAAGUGACACUACCCGAGCAUUGUGUCUCAAUUCCCGGUAUGAUACCUUUAAAGUUCGUACUACUGGGCUUGAUUCUGGCCGGAUCUGUAUGCAUAUUCUUAAUGGUAUCAGCGUAUAUCAAGUUGAGACUGCUACGCCCAUCCAUAAGGACUCGGGUCAUAUGAAAGCCGUCCACUAUGGGGUCGAGUACCAGAGCUGCAGUGCCUCCAUGACGGAUACUUGUCGAAUUGUGUCUUUGGUCAAAGGUGAUCGGAAUUUCCGACCAUGGGUUGUAAGUUGGCGCUCCUGGCUCUACGGCAUAGACAUCGUGAAGCGCGUGUUUUCUCUCCUUCCUGGUGACGUGAGUAGCGUAAAUCAUGUUCACGUCCUUGACUUCGGGAGGGAAUUCAUGUUCACGUCCUUGACUUCGGAAGGGAAUUGCUUCUCGCCACCAUUACCUGGCCCAGGCUGGUUACCAUCCCCGUUAUGAGGCUGGUUCAUGCCCUGAUUCUUGGUCGCUAUCUUGAUGGCUUGCUUGAUUACCCAGCAGUCCCGGUUCGAAUGAGUGGCAGGCUUGUCUAGGGUGCCGUUUACGGCACAUGCUUUAUCCAAUAUUUUGCCCAACAUCGAUACGUUAUCUUUAUUCCCUUGAAAGAGUUUCCACUUGUUCCCACCACGUUGGUUGCUGAAUCCGGCAUUUACUACUCCCUCCUCGGUGUCGCUACUAUGUCCUCUAUUGUGGCGUGAUACGUCUCCAACGUAUCUAUAAUUUUUUAUUGUUCCAUGUUGUUAUAUUAUCAAUCUUGGAUGUUUUAUAUACAUUUACUAGCAACUUUAUAUCAUUUUUGGGACUAACCUAUUAACCUAGUGCUAGUUGUUGUUUUUUGCUUGUUUUUUACUUUGUAGAAUAUCAAUACAAACGAAGUCCAGAUGCUACGAAACUUUUUGGAGAUUUUUUUCUGGUGAUAAGAGACCCUGGAAGCUUCCGGAGGAAGCCAGAGGUGGAAGGGGGCCCACUAGGCACCAGGGUGCGCCAGAGGCCCAAGGCGCGCCCUUAUGGGUAGUGGGGCCCACGGGCACCGACUUGACCUACCUCCGGCUCUAUAGAUACUCUAAAAUCCCAAAAAACCUAAGGGAGUCGACGAAUUACAAGGCUAUAAGAGAUCGUGUGGUGGGCCCGCUCCGAGAUUGAAUCUAGUGCGUGGGCGAUGAUAUCUGCGGGAAUCUCGGGCCGAUCUAAUGUUACUUCUUGAGUUUGCGUUGGUUUUUCCCUUGAAGAGGAAAGGGUGAUGCAGCAAAGUAGAGAUAAGUAUUUCCCUCAGUUAAGAACCAAGGUAUCAAUCUAGUAGGAGGAACACACAGGUCUCCAAUAGUUAUACCUGCACAAACAAACAAAUACUUGCAUCCAAUGUGAUAAAGAGGCUGUCAAUCCCUUCACGGUUACUUGCAAGGAUGAGAUCUGAUAGUGAUGGAUAUAAAAGAUAAAUAAAAUUGCAAAAUAAAAUGAAAGUAAAUAAAUUACAACAAGGUAUUUUUGUGUUUUUGAUUUUGUAGAUCUGAAAAUAAUAUGAAAAAGAUAGACCCUGGGGCCACAGUUUUCACUAGAGGCUUCUCUCUUGAAAGAAAGCAUACGAUGGGUAAACAAAUUACUGUUGAGCAAUUGAUAGAAAAGCGCAUAGUUAUGACGAUAUCCAAGGCAAUGAUCAUGUAUAUAGGCAUCACGUCCGAGACAAGUAGACUGACUCCUGCCUGCAUCUACUACUAUUACUCCACACAUCAACUGCUAUCCAGCAUGCAUCUAGUGUAUUAAAUUAAUAAGAAUGGAGUAACACAUUAAGAAAGAUGACAUGAUGUAGAGGGAUAGAUCCAAUCAGUAUGAACAAACCCCAUCUUUUUAUCCUUAAUGGCAACAAUACAAAUAUGUGUCAUGUCCCCUUCUAUCACGGAUAUUGAGCACCGCAAGAUUAAACCCAUUACAAAGCACCUCUCCCAUUGUAAGAAGAAUCAAUCUAGUUGGUCAAACCAAAUCAGUAGAUCGGAGAGAACUACAAAGCUAUAUAAUCAUGCAUAAAAGAGUUCAGAGAAGACUCAAAUAAUAUCCAUAGAUAAUCUGAUCAUAAACCCACAAUUCAUAGGAUCUCAACAAACACACCGCAAAACAAGAUUACAUCGAAUAGAUCUCCAAGAACAUCGAGGAGAACAUUGUAUUGAAGAUCAAAGAGAGAGAGAAGAAGCCAUCUAGCUACUAGCUAUGGACCCGUAGGUCUGUGGUAAACUACUCACACAUCAUCGUAAAGGCAGCAAGGUUGAAGUAGAAGCCCUCCGUGAUCGAAACCCCCUCCGGCGGAGUACCAAAAAGGUCCCCGGAUGGGAUCUCAUGAAGACGGAAUUGCGGCGGCGGAAAAGUAUUUUUGGUGUGCCCUCUGGUCUACGGGGAAUAUUUGGGUAUUUAUAGAAGAAGAAUUUGAAGGAAAUAUGCCCUAGAGGCAAUAAUAAAGUUGUUAUUUUAUUUUUCCUUAUUCAUGAUAAAGGUUUAUUAUUCAUGCUAGAAUUUUAUUGAUCGGAAACUUAAAUACAUGUGUGAAUACAUAAACAAAUACCGUGUCCCUAGUAAGCCUCUACUAGACUAGCCCGUUGAUCAAAGAUGGUUAAGGUUUCCUAACCAUGGACAUGUGUUGUCAUUUGAUAACGGGAUCACAUCAUUAGGGGAAUGAUGUGAUGGACAAGACCCACCCGUUAGCUUAGCAUAAUGAUCGUUCAGUUUAUUGCUAUUACUUUCUUCAUGUCAAAUACUUAUUCCUUCGACUAUCAGAUUAUGCAACUCCCGGAUACCGGAGGAAUACCUUGUGUGUUAUCAAACGUCACAACGUAAAUGGGUGAUCAUAAAGAUGCUCUAUAGGUAUCUCUGAAGGUGUUUGUUGAGUUGGGAUAGAUCGAGAUUAGGAUUUGUCACUCCGAGUAUCGGAGAGGUAUCUCUGGGCCCUCUCGGUAAUACACAUCAUAAGCUUGCAAGCAUAUGACUAAGGAGUUAGCGCGAGGUGAUGUAUUACGGAACGAGUAAAGAGACUUGCCGGUAACGAGAUUGAACUAGGUAUGAAGAUACCGACGAUCGCAUCUCGGGCAAGUAACAUACCGAUAAACAAAGGGAGUUACGUAUGUUAUCAUAACGGUUCGACCGAUAAAGAUCUUCGUAGAAUAUGUAGGAGCCAAUAUGGGCAUCCAGGUUCCGCUAUUGGUUAUUGACCGGAGAGGUGUCUCGGUCAUGUCUACAUAUUUCUUGAACCCGUAGGGUCCACACGCUUAACGUUCGUUGACGAUAUAGUAUUAUAUGAGUUAUGUGAUUUGGUCGCCGAAUGUUGUUCAGAGUCCCGGAUGAGAUCACAGACAUGACGAGGAGUCUCGAAAUGGUCGAGAGGUAAAGAUCGAUAUAUAGGACGAUGGUAUUCGGACACCGGAAGUGUUCCGGAGGGUACCGGGUACUUAUCGUCACCGAAAAGGAGUUUCGGGCACCCCCGGCAAAGAUAUGGGCCUUAUGGGCCAAGAGAGGGAACACACCAGCCCACAAGGGGCUGGUGCACCCCUAUACAGGCCGGCCCUAUGAGGAGGAGAAGGAAAGAGGGGAGGGCAAGGAAAGUGUGGAGUAGGACUCCCCCUUCCUUCCCUCCCCCCCCCCUCUUUCCUUCCCCCUUGUUUAUACAAGGAAAGGGGGCGCAGGGCAAGGCAGGAGCCCUAGGGCGUGCCUGGCUGCCUCCCCUCCCCUCCCACCUAUAUAUAUGUGGGGAGGGGGCGCCACACAAGGACACACAAUAUUGUCUUAGCCGUGUGCGGCGCCACACAAGGACACACAAUAUUGUCUUAGCCAUGUGCGGCGCCCCCGUCCACCGUUUACUCCCUCGGUCAUAUUUCCGUAGUGCUUAGACGAAGCCCUGCGGAGAUCACAUCACCAUCACCGUCACCAUGCCGUCAUGCUGACGGAACUCAUCUACUACCUCAACGUCUUGCUAGAUCAAGAAGGUGAGGGACGUCACCGAGCUGAACGUGUGCAGAACGCGGAGGUGCCGUGCGUUCGGUACUUGAUCGGUUGAAGCGCGAAGAAGUUCGACUACAUCAACUGUGUUGUGAAACGCUUCUGCUUACGGUCUACGAGGGUACAUAGACACACUCUCCCCCUCGUUUCUAUGCAUCUCCAUGGAUAGAUCAUUGCAUGUGCGUAGAAAUUUUUUUGUUUUCCAUGCAACGAUUCCCAACAGAAUUAGGGUUGGAAGUGCCACGAGGGGCCCACAAGCUUGCCCCCCCCCCCCGGGCGCGCCCCCUGAGCUUGUCGCCGCCUCGUGGCCCUUCUGGCCUCCUCCCGAAGCUUCCAGGGUGUCUUGUGGUCCAAGAAAAAUCAUCAAAAAGUUUCGUUCCAUUUGGACUCCGUUUGAUAUUGAUUUUCUAUGAAGACAAAAAACAAGGGGGGAAAUAGCAACUAGCACUAGGCACUAGGUUAACAAGUUAGUCCCAAAAAAUGAUAUAAAAUAGCAUAAUAAUGCAUAUAAAACAUUUAAGAUUGAUAAUAUAAUAGCAUGAAACAAUAAAAAUUUAUAGAUACAUUAGAGACGUAUCAUCUAACACCCAACCUGAGAAAGCAAGCUCCCCGCGUGAAUCUGCGGUGUAUUCCAGAUUGCCAAACCGGAUGGCUUGUCCUGGAGAGACAUUCUCUACUUGGCUGAGAUGGCCAGUCGAGUCGGCGUGCAACACGAUGCUGCCGAAGGCAAAAAGCGGGCCGGGGGAAAAGAUAUCCCUGCAGCCAACGCUGUCGUUGAUCCAAAGAUUCGCCAUCGAGCUCUUACGACCACACAGCGGGACCUGUAUGGGCCACCAAGGUGCUAAAACCGGCAGAUCUCUAGUAGGGGUUUUGAAGCUUGGUGAUCUGAGAUAGAUGAUAACAGGAGAAAGUAGGGACAUGAUGCUUACCCAGGUUCGGGCCCUCUUGAGAAGGCAAAACCCUACGUCAUGCUUCUGAUAUAUCGAUUGUGAUGGGGUACAGAGUACAGUAUGAUCUACCUCAAGAUCGUAUGAAGGAGUUCUAAGCUCCAAACCUUGCAAUCGUGCCUCAACAGACUAAACCUCACGGAUUAUAUAGACACUGAGGGUAUCUACGGUUUAGACAUCGUCAGUUACAAUAUAGGGAUAAGCAUGUCGAUCAUUCAAAUAUGCCUUGAAGUGUAUGCCUGAUACGUCUCCAACGUAUCUAUAAUUUUUUAUUGUUCCAUGCUAUUAUAUUAUCUGUUUUGGAUGUUUAAUGGGAUUUAUUAUGCACUUCUAUAUUAUUUUUGGGACUAACCUACUAACCGGUGGCCCAGUGCAAAUUGCUGGGGGGGGUUUUGCCUAUUUUAGUGUUUCGCAGAAAAGGAAUAUCAAACGGAGUCCAAACGGAAUGAAACCUUCGCGAGGAUCGUUUUUGGAACAAACGCAACCCAGGAGACUUGGAGUGGACGUCAAGGAAGCAACGAGGCGGCCACGAGGUAGGGAGGCGCGCCCAGGGGGUAGGCGCCCCUCCCCCACCCUCGUGGCUCCACCGACCUACUUCCUUCGCCUAUAUAUACUCUUAUACCCUGAAAACAUCCAGCAGCACCACGAAACCCUAUUUCCACCGCCGCAACCUUCUGUACCCGUGAUAUCCCAUCUUGGGGCCUUUUCCGGCGCUCCGCCGGAGGGGGAAUCGAUCACGGAGGGCUUCUACAUCAACACCAUAGCCUCUCCGAUGAUGUGUGAGUAGUUACCACAGACCUUCGGGUCCAUAGUUAUUAGCUAGAUGGCUUCUUCUCUCUCUUUGGAUCUCAAUACAAAGUUCUCCUCGAUUCUCUUGGAGAUCUAUUCGAUGUAAUACUUUUUGCGGUGUGUUUGUCGAGAUCCGAUGAAUUGUGGGUUUAUGAUCAAGAUUAUCUAUGAACAAUAUUUGAUUCUUCUCUGAAUUCUUAUAUGUAUGAUUUGAUAUCUUUGCAAGUCUCUUCGAAUUAUCAGUUUGGUUUGGCCUACUAGAUUGAUCUUUUCUUGCAAUGGGAGAAGUACUUAGCUUUGGGUUCAAUCUUGCGGUGUCCUUUCCUAGUAAUAGCAGGGGCAGCAAGGCACGUAUUGAAUUGUUGCCAUCGAGGAUAAAAAAGAUGGGGUUUAUAUCAUAUUGCUUGAGUUUAUCCCUCUACAUCAUGUCAUCUUGCCUAAUGCGUUACUCUGUUCUUAUGAACUUAAUACUCUAGAUGCAUGCUGGAUAGCGGUCGAUGUAGUAGAUGCAGAAUUGUUUCGGUCUACUUGUCGCGGACGUGAUGCCUAUAUACAUGAUCAUGCCUAGAUAUUCUCAUAACUAUGCACUUUUCUAUCAAUUGCUCGACAGUAAUUCGUUCACCCACCGUAGAAUUUGCUAUCUUGAGAGAAGCCACUAGUGAAACCUAUGGCCCCGGGGUCUAUCUUCCAUCAUAUAAGUUUCCGAUCUGUUUUAUUUUGCGAUCUUUACUUUUCAACCUAUACCAUAAAAAUACCAAAAAUAUUUAUCUUAUUAUCUCUAUCAGAUCUCACUUUUGCAAGUGGCGGUGAAGGGAUUGACAACCCCUUUAUCGCGUUGGUUGCAAGGUUCUUAUUUGUUUGUGCAGGUACGAGGGAUUUUCAUGUAAUCUCCUACUGGAUUGAUACCUUGGUUCUCAAAAACUGGGGGAAAUACUUACGCUACUUUGCUGCAUCACCCUUUCCUCUUCAAGGGAAAACCAACGCAUGCUCAAGAGGUAGCAAGAAGGAUUUCUGGCGCCGUUGCCGGGGAGAUUUGCACCAAGUCAAGUCAAUAUUUGAUCUCCCGUCAACUAGCCAUUUCUGGUGUCGUUGCCGGGGAGAUCUACGCACAAGUCAAGACAUACCAGGUACCCAUCACAAACUCUUAUCCCUCGCAUUACAUUAUUUUCCAUUUGCCUCUCGUUUUCCUCUUCCCCACUUCACCUUUGCCUUUUCUUCGCCCUCCUUCCGUCCGAUCUUGUGUUACCAUGUGCCUUCUUUUUGCUUGCAUCUUUGCUUGCUAAAAGUUUAUGGAUCCUCAUCCCCUUGCUAAUCUUUUUAAGAGAUCCAAUUAUGAUGAACCAAUUUCUAGUGAUUUGAGUGCACUAGAUUAUCUUUAUGAGGUUUUGCUUGAAAUUCGUGAAUCUAAAAAUUCUGAUGAAGAAAUUUAUGAAGAGAUUCACGAUAGCUCCUUGAAUAAAAAGCAUGAUUGCAAUGAUUUUACUAUAAAUUCUCUUGAUGUCAAUUGUGCUAAUAAUAUGCAAAACCCUGAGCUUGGGGAUGCUAGUUUUGCUAUGUCUACUACUUGUUGCAACGAUCAUGAUUGGGGUGAUUCUUCUUAUGAUCUUGAAAAUUUAUUUAAGCCCCAUGAUGAAUAUGAGAUUGAUAAUAAUGUUUGCAAUAAUACUGAAAGUGGGUUUGGAAGAGUGUCAACUUUAGAUCCCACAUAUUUGGAGAAUGCUCAAUCUUGAAGUUUUUGAUAAAAAUGGGUUUGGAGAGGUCAUGACUUUAGUUAAUGUUAAUCCCACUAUUUUGGAAGAGUGUGAACUUUGCAUACAUGUGGAUCGUGUUAAGAAUAUGUUUUCUGAUAACUAUAUUGUUGAGUUUUCUUAUGAUCCUACAUGUAAUUAUUAUGAGAGAGGAAAAUAUGGUUGUAGAAAUUUUCAUGUUACUAAAUUACCUCUCGUUAUGUUGAGAUUGCUAUUGUUUCUUUCCGCUUCCUUGCAUAUGCUAGUUUUUGCUUGCCUUGAUAAUUUGUUUGCCUAUAAGAUGCCUAUGCAUAGGAAGUAUGUUAGACUUAGAUGUGUUUGUCACAUGUUUCAUGAUUCUCUCUUCGUGUUUCAAUUAUUAUCUUUCGUGUGAGCAUCGUUGAAAUCUUAUGCCUAGCUAGGGGCGUUAAACGAUAGCGCUUGUUGGGAGGCAACCCAAUUUUAUUUUUGUUCCUUGCUUUUUGUUCCUGUUUAGUAAUAAAUAUUUCAUCUAGCUUCUGGUUAUAUGUGGUUUUAUGUUUUAAUUAGUGUUUGUGCCAAGUAAAACCUAUAGGAUCUUCUUGGGUGAUAAUUAUUUGAUCUUGCUGAAAAAGUCAGAAACUUUCUGCCCACAAAAACAAUUGUUAAAAAUCACCAGAAAGUGAUAAAAUACUGAUUCCAAUUGCAGUAUAUCAAUAAUAAAAUUAUCUAGGUCUUCCUAUUUUGGUAUAUUUUUCUGAGUUACAGAAGUUUGCGUUUGAUACAUAUUACUACAGACUGUUCUGUUUUUGACAGAUUCUGUUUUUCGUGUGUUGUUUGCUUAUUUUGAUGAAUCUAUGGCUAGUAUCGGGGGGGUAUGAACCAUAGAGAAGUUGGAAUACAGUAGGUUUAACACCAAUAUAAAUAAAUAAUGAGUUCAUUACAGUACCUUAAAGUGGUGGUUUGUUUUAUUUCGCUAACGGAGCUCAUGAGAUUUUCUGUUGAGUUUUGUGUUGUGAAGUUUUCAAGUUUUUGGGUAAAGAUUUGAUGGAUUAUGGAACAAGGAGUGGCAAGAGCCUAAGCUUGGGGAUUCCCAAGGCACCCCAAGGUAAAAUUCAAGGACAACCAAAAGCCUAAGCUUGGGGAUGCCCCGGAAGGCAUCCCCUCUUGCGUCUUCGUCUAUCGGUAACUUUACUUGAUGCUAUAUUUUUAUUCACCACAUGAUAUGUGUUUUGCUUGGAGCAUCUUGUAUGAUUUGAGUCUUUGCUUUUUAGUUUACCACAAUCAUCCUUGCUGUACACACCUUUUGGAGAGACACACAUGAAUCGGAAUUUAUUAGAAUACUCUAUGUGCUUCACUUAUAUCUUUUGAGCUAGAUAAUUUUGCUCUAGUGCUUCGCUUAUAUCUUUUUAGAGCACGGUGGUGGUUUAUUUUAUAGAAAUUAUUGAUAUCUCAUGCUUCACUUAUAUUAUUUUGAGAGUCUUUUAGAACAGCAUGGUAAUUUUUUGGUUAAAAUUUUAGUCCUAAAGUGAUGAGCAUCCAAGAUAGGUAUAAUAAAAACUAUCAUAUAAAGUGCAUUGUAUACGAUGAGAAGUUUGAUUCUUUAUGAUUGUUUUGAGAUAUGAAGAUGGUGAUAUUAGAGUCAUGGCAGUUGAGUAGUUGUGAAUUUGAGAAAUACUUGUGUUAAAGUUUAUGAUUCCCGUAGCAUGCACGUAUGGUGAACCGUUAUGUGAUGAAGUCGGAGCAUGAUUAUUUAUUGAUUGUCUUCCUUAUGAGUGGCGGUCGGGGAUGAGCGAUGGUCUUUUCCUACCAAUUUAUCCCCCUAGGAGCAUGCGUGUAGUACUUCGUUUCAAUAACUAAUAGAUUUUUGCAAUAAGUAUGUGAGUUCUUUAUGACUAAUGUUGAGUCCAUGGAUUAUACGCACUCUCACCCUCCCACCAUUGCUAGCCUCCUAAUAUCGUGCAACUUUCGCCGGUAUCAUACACCCACCAUAUACCUUCCUCAAAACAGCCACCAUACCUACCUAUUAUGGCAUUUCCAUAGCCAUUCCGAGAUAUAUUGCCAUGCAACUUUCCACCGUUCCGUUUAUUAUGACACGCUCCAUCAUUGUCAUAUUGCUUUGCAUGAUCAUGUAGUUGACAUCGUAUUUGUGGCAAAGCCACCGUUCAUGAUUUUCGUACAUGUCACUCUUGAUUCAUUGCAUAUCCCGGUACACCGCCGGAGGCAUUCACAUAGAGUCAUAUUUUGUUCUAAGUAUUGAGUUGUAAUUUUUGAGUUGUAAGUAAAUAAAAGUGUGAUGAUCAUCAUUAUUAGAGCAUUGUCCCAAGUGAGGAAAGGAUGAUGGAGACUAUGAUUCCCCACAAGUCGGGAUGAGACUCUGGACUAAAAUUAAAAAAAAAGGAAAGAAAAGAGGCCAUAAAAAAAGAGAGAAAGGCCCAAACAAAAAAAGGAGAAAAAGAGAGAAGGGACAAUGUUACUAUCCUUUUACCACACUUGUGCUUCAAAGUAGCACCAUGAUCUUCAUGAUAGAGAGUCUCCUAUGUUGUCACUUUCAUAUACUAGUGGGAAUUUUACAUUAUAGAACUUGGCUUGUAUAUACCAAUGAUGGGCUUCUUCAAAAUGCCCUAGGUCUUCGUGAGCAAGCGAGUUGGAUGCACACCCACUUAGUUUCUUUUGUUGAGCUUUCAUACACUUAUAGAUCUAGUGCAUCCGUUGUAUGGCAAUCUCUACUCACUCACAUUGAUAUCUAUUGAUGGGCAUCUCCAUAGCCCAUUGAUAUGCCUAGUUGAUGUGAGACUAUCUUCUCCUUUUUUUUGUCUUCUCCACAACCACCAUUCUAUUCCACAUAUGGUGCUAUGUCCAUGGCUCACGCUCAUGUAUUGCGUGAAGAUUGAAAAAGUUUGAGAACAUCAAAAGUAUGAAACAAUUGCUUGGCUUGUCAUCGGGGUUGUGCAUGAUUUAAAUAUUUUGUGUGAUGAAGAUAGAGCAUAGCCAGACUAUAUGAUUUUGUAGGAAUAACUUUCUUUGGCCAUGUUAUUUUGAGAAGACAUGGUUGCUUUAUUAGUAUGCUUGAAGUAUUAUUAUUUUUAUGUCAAUAUUAAACUUUUGUCUUGAAUCUUUCGGAUCUGAAAUUCAUGCCACAGUAAAGAAAAUUACAUUGAGAUUAUGCUAGGUAGCAUUCCACAUCAAAAAUUCUGUUUUUAUCAUUUACCUACUCGAGGACGAGCAGGAAUUAAGCUCGGGAUGCCUGAUACGUCUCCAACGUAUCUAUAAUUUUUGAUUGUUCCAUGCUAUUAUAUUAUCUGUUUUGGAUGUUUAAUGGGCUUUAUUAUGCACUUUUAUAUUAUUUUUGGGACUAACCUACUAACCGGAGGCCCAGUGCAAAUUGCUGUUUUUUUGCCUAUUUCAGUGUUUCGCAGAAAAGGAAUAUCAAACGGAGUCCAAACGGAAUGAAACCUUCGCGAGGAUCGUUUUUGGAACAAACGCAAUCCAGGAGACUUGGCGUGGACGUCAAGGAAGCAACGAGACGGCCACGAGGUAGGGAGGCGCGCCCAGGGGGGUAAGCGCGCCCCCCACCCUUGUGGGCCCCUCGUGGCUCCACCGACCUACUUCCUUCGCCUAUAUAUACUCUUAUACCCUAAAAACAUCCAGGAGCACCACGAACCCUAUUUCCACCGCCGCAACCUUCUAUACCCGUGAUAUCCCAUCUUGGGGCCUUUUCCGGCGCUCCGCCGGAGGGGGAAUCGAUCACGGAGGGCUUCUACAUCAACACCAUAGCCUCUCCGAUGAUGUGUGAGUAGUUUACCACAGACCUUCGGGUCCAUAGUUAUUAGCUAGAUGGCUUCUUCUCUCUCUUUGGAUCUCAAUACAAAGUUCUCCUCGAUUCUCUUGGAGAUCUAUUCGAUGUAAUACUUUUUGCGGUGUGUUUGUCGAGAUCUGAUGAAUUGCGGGUUUAUGAUCAAGAUUAUCUAUGAACAAUAUUUGAUUCUUCUCUGAAUUCUUAUAUGUAUGAUUUGAUAUCUUUGCAAGUCUCUUCGAAUUAUCAGUUUGGUUUGGCCUACUAGAUUGAUCUUUCUUGCAAUGGGAGAAGUGCUUAGCUUUGGGUUCAAUCUUGUGGUGUCCUUUCCCAGUGACAGCGGGGGCAGCAAGACACGUAUUAAAUUGUUGCCAUCGAGGAUAAAAAGAUGGGGUUUAUAUCAUAUUGCUUGAGUUUAUCCCUCUACAUCAUGUCAUCCUGCCUAAUGCGUUACUCUGUUCUUAUGAACUUAAUACUCUAGAUGCAUGCUGGAUAGCGGUCGAUGUGUGGAGUAAUAGUAGUAGAUGCAGAAUCGUUUCGGUCUACUUGUCGCGAACGUGAUGCCUAUAUACAUGAUCAUGCCUUGAUAUUCUCAUAACUAUGCACUUUUCUAUCAAUUGCUCGACAGUAAUUCGUUCACCCACCGUAGAAUUUGCUAUCUUGAGAGAAGCCACUAGUGAAACCUAUGGCCCCCGGGUCUAUCUUCCAUCAUAUAAGUUUUCGAUCUGUUUUAUUUUGCAAUCUUUACUUUUCAAUCUAUACCAUAAAAAUACCAAAAAUAUUUAUCUUAUUAUCUCUAUCAGAUCUCACUUUUGCAAGUGGCUGUGAAGGGAUUGACAACCCCUUUAUCGCGUUGGUUGCAAGGUUCUUAUUUGUUUGUGCAAGUACGAGGGAUUUGCGUGUAAUCUCCUACUGAAUUGAUACCUUGGUUCUCAAAAACUAGGGGAAAUACUUACGCUAUUUUGCUGCAUCACCCUUUCCUCUUCAAGAGAAAACCAGCGCAUGCUCAAGAGGUAGCAAUGCCAAGCCUUCGGAGAUCUUCAUCUUGAUUACACAGAGGGCCAGGGCCUGCAUGGCCCAUUCAUCAGUCUUUGUUGGGUCCUCGACCCGGCCCAUAACCGGCGGGCCGUCGUGGUAAGCAUCCCCUAGUCCAGGACUCCAACAGGGUGGUUCUAAAGUUUAGUCUCAUACCGCUAGUGGAGGAGGUAUGAGACAUGUUUACAUAGUGGGUUCUCCCCACCACACUAUGCGGUGAGUAUGACGAGAGAAAGAGAACACCACAAGCGUGCGCGUUCGCCUCACCUGGCCUGGUCUGGACAGGGAGGGGUGUGGUUGUGCGACAUGCGUGUGAAUGGUUCACAAGUUGACUUGUCUGGUAAGUUACGACUUGAAAACCAAGUCGGUUUGAGAUCGUGAUCACGACACGCUACCACCUUGGUCCUCCUAUAAAUAUGACUUACCAGCUACGACUAAAGAUACACCGAAACAAGCUAGGGUUUUGCCUUAUCUCACAACUUGCGACAUCAUCGUAGUCUACUCCAUUCCAAACGUGUGUGUGUGCACCAGCGAGCGGGAGAGCAGGUCACUAGAACCCUUCGUUCUUGUGAUCCUGCAUAGGGAGAGGACGAAUUAGAUUUUUGGUAAGCAUUUCGUGCGACUGCUCAACUUCGUCACCACGGGUGUCUUCCAUCCAAGUCGGGUCGCAUCGCGUACCGACAUCUCCAACGUCAUUUGCUUCGACCUGUCUUCAUGAAUGCAUCAUCAACAACAUCACUCCUGCAGCAGCUACGGCUACCGAUAAAUAGUACGUGCGUCGUGAUCUAUUCAUGUCUCUAAUUAUGGUUGCCAUUAUUUGUGCAAUGUUGUGGUACAUGUUUCCAUGUUCAUCUAGUAUGCUAGAUUGUUGCAUGCUAAUAAUAAUUUUAAUCAUGAUUUAUAUUCUCUAAAGUUUAGUCUCAUACCACUAGUGGAGGAGGUGUGGUGUACAUGAUCUUAACCUUGCUCUGCCUUAAAUGAGUCAAAUUUCCUUCAUCAGUUGCGUUUGUAGCACGGUCGAUUGAAAGGUGAGGACAACUUAUGGCUAAAAGGAAAAGCUGAUACGUUAGCACGCAUCAAAGCGAGACUAUGACAGCAAAGCUCUUGAUCUGUAUGCCCUUCUUAUUCAAGGUACUUAAAGGUUAAAAAAACUAAAGAUAUUUUUAUGCACGGUUCUCUCUCUCUUCUUCUUCUUUUUUUCUUUGCUUUUUGUCUUCAGUACAUUGGCGUGUACACUCAUGAGUCAUGAAUACGGAAUUAAUAGUAUAUACAGCGAUUUGGCUCCCGAGAACAGUAUCGUGAUUCAAAAUAGAAAAUAAGUUCAAAAAAUCCAUUUUUUUUGUGGUGCAAGAUGCUUCUGUGCGUGAACUCUGUGCAAAAUUUUGUAAAGUUUGGACAUUCGAGGAGCUCGUGGCAAAAAAGAUAAAUUUCGGAUGUCUGAGAAACUUUUGAAAAUCGCAGUGUUCAUGCCUGAUUUUGUCUUUUUUUUCACGAGCUCCUUGAAUGUCCAACCUUCAUAAAAUUUUGUAUGGAGUUCACGCAUAGGAGCAUCUUGCACCAAAAAAAUUGGAAAUUUUUGAACUUUUUUUCUAUUUUAAACUGUGGUAUGUUCACCGGGCUCAUCUGAACCGCGGGCACCGAAAGGGAUUUUCCUAGUACUACUGUGAGCAUGGUUCCAUACAAUCCCGCUUUUAAAACUUAGCAAGAAAAUCACAUCGGUCAAGCUUUUCUAAAAAAAUAGACAAACAGUUUAUGCAUGUAGAAAAUGGACACAAAGCAUGACCAUAUAUUUUUAUUGUGUUCAAUGCGAUCAUUUGUGAGUUGUGCAAAAUAAAAAUAAAAAUACUUUGCUAAUUUCCAUCCAUUGCGUUAGUUGCUUUAGCAUCUCCAAGAAAGGUCCUCGAAGGGUCAUUUGAGGGCACCCCCUACUUUCUCAGCCCUAAAAACUCUAACAAUACCCUUCAUUUCUCAGCUUUGUAGAAAAAAUCUUCUUGUUGCACAUUUGCUCUAUGUGACACCAAAUUUGACACCACAAUAAUUUGAAAUAUAAUAUGUCUACGCAUAAAACUCAACAAUGUUCAAAUUCAUAAUUUUAAGCGCCACAAUUCAAAAUAUUGAACACAAAAAAAUCAAAUAAUACUAGGAAAUGUUCAUUGAACUACAUGGUUCAUCCAACGUAGUCGGUGUUUUAAACAAAAAUAUAGUAAAUAAACUACUUGGACCCAUAUCAUUCUCGCGAGUGCUGAAAAAAGAUCAUCUUUGAGUUGAUCGCUUGUGUCGGCCAUGGUCUGAGCCAAGGCUCAUGUUUGAUAUAUAUUACCUACCGUUGUUUAUCAUUUUCAUGGUUAAUUAAAAUUGGAGAGGGGCUCCUUCGUCGGAAAAAAAAGGUCAUUUCAAAGUUGAUCGUGCGCUUAUAGGGCUUUCCAUCCUUCUCUAGACAUCAAGGAAUUCACUAGCAGUAAUGUGAUGCAGAUCCUCCAAAGCCACAUAGACUCCCAUAUCAUUUCACUCGAAGUCUUCAUGUUGACCCACACUCGCUCUCAAUGAUAACACAAACAACAGUGCGGGCAGGGAGGCGAUGUCGUAGCGACUUGCACCUUGUAAGGUUGGGGCAUGGUGCGGGAAAACAUGGAGAGGCGGAACGGCGAGAGGGUGGCAGCCUCGAUGGUGCUGGUGGAGGGAGACGAUCGGCACCGCCCGGAUUGAUAGGCGGGGUGGCGAAAUCGGGCAGAGGAGAGGGGUGGGAUCCUGGAGGGAGGAGUUUAGGAGGAUGGAGCAGGGCGGCCUUGAACUGAGGGCUUGGAGGGUUAUUAUUUUUGGAUCCUCUGUUAUGAAUGUUGUAGGGGUUGAUUUGCAAAAAAAAAUGUAGUAGGGGUUAUUGGAGUUGAUUUUUUGUCCUUAGCCCUCAAAAAGUGAUUUGAGGGGUGGAGUAGGGGCCUCUUGGAGAUAUGCUCUUAUCUUCUGCUUAACAUGGCAAAACUGAGAUAGAGCCAUUGACCGCCUAUGAAUCAAGGGUAUGAUUAGUAAUAUGGUAGGAAAUUCUAAGCUAAACAUUGUUCACGUGAUCCUGAUAUUGAAACUUAGCAAGAAAAAAAUCACAUGUUUUAACUUUCAAAAAUGUGCAUGGCAAGGGAUAUAUUCUCUUACCUUUUUGUAGGACAGCCGAUGCUCCAUGUGUAUUGUCUUCUUUUAUGCUGCACCGGCUAAUUGAUAGAGUGCUCUACACUGUGUACAUAUAGAUAUAGUGAUGCGGCGCAAAUGUAACAUGGGGUGAUAUAUGCACGAGCUACAAUUAAUUGAUCACUUAUGAAUGAAGACAUCUUAAUUAUCCUGGAAUUAAAAGGAAUGGCCAUAAGUGAUAAGCAUAUUCAAAUUUAAAUGCUAAUAUGAAUGUCUCGGUUAUGCAAAUGUGCUCCUUAUAUUGACCUUUUUAAGCUACAGGAGACAGUGGCAGAGCUACUCUGCACGGUGAUUACCUUGUUUGAUAUUUAUGAGUUGUUUCCCUUUUUUGGUUCUUUUCAUAUUUUAACAAACUAAUUUGUGUGCAUGGUAUGGUGUAGAGGGCGGGACAGUGUGUCUAGUUUCCAGUACCUAAAAGAUGACAUGCAUGUAGAAACCAUAAUGUGGCAGCGUAGAUGGUAGUAGGGGUACUGUUUAGAUAAACCAUCAUUCAUCACUGAACAAAAACGUGAUAUUCCUACACAAGAUCGCACACACAUAUAUAGCCAGAGUCCACAUGAUACAGCUGAUUCGGUGUUGCUUUGUACAUUCUCUCUUCCUUCCUCUUCCUUUUUGUAUGUAGAAGCUACCGGUGUACCCACAUUCUUGAUCCAACUCAGCUCACUACAACCAGUGUUGCUGCAUUUCGUCCAUGGAAAUUAAUAUGCCUCAAUAGCUAUGGAUGUCGUUAUUUGAACGCUAUAGUUGUGUUAUAUUAAGUUAUUAUAUGUACUAAGAGCAUCUGCAUCCCUAGGUGUUAAGCAGAGGCUAAAGGUGAGAGAAAUUGUUUAGCACUAGUGCUAAAGGAUGCAUGUGAGGGUAGAUGCUAAGAUCAAAAGCUUAGCACUAACGCUAAGCUUAGCAUCCAAUGCUAAGCUUAGCAAAGUAUGUUAAACUAAUAGCUUGUGUGCCAAUCUUUAAUUUGGAUGAUAAAUUUAAUAUAUUUAGUACCUUCAAGUGGUGCUAGAGGAUAUGGUAAAAAAAACACUUAUCAAGGUGAAUGAGAGAGAAAGUUGACACACUUAUCGAGGCUGGAAACUAUAAUUAUUUAUGGGGAUGCGGAUGAUCUAAGAAAUCGACCAAUGGCUCCACAAUGCACAUAUAUAUUUUAAAAAAUAAAAUGUGUGUAAGUGGCAUCUAAAAUAACGGGGGCAUGCUCAGCUUUUAACUCUCGGAUCAAGAGAAAGAUGGUGUGUAUACCGAGGCUAUAGGUGUUUAUAGGGUGUGGAUGCUCAAACAAUGUAGCAAUGGCUUCACAUUGUACAUGUAUAAACAUGUGCUCAGCUUUCUAACUGUUGGACCGAGAUUAUGUAAUAUAAUUAUAUAAACCAUUUAUUAAGGACUUGGUUUUUUGAAACCUCAAUAAAGACAUGACAUAUAGUGGACACUGUCUUAGUAGUUUUAUUUCAGCAAUGGAGUAAUCUAGUCACUCGCAAAAAAAUUGAUCCAUUCACUUGCCAGGAUGAGAGAGAGAGAGAGAGAGAGAGAGUGUUACACGUCUAGAGAGAGAAAUGAGGGGCGGUCGGCCGUGUAAGGAAAAGGAUGAAGCUUGCGAGGGAAUCUGCAAAAGAGGAGGUAGCUAGCUAAAGGUGGCCCCCAUCCGAUCGAUGAAAAUCUCGAGGGGAGGACGACUACUGUGCCUCCUACCCCAGCCGACGACGAUCGACCCAGAGGAAGAGAAAACCUACUUAUAAGGGCAGCUGGCCGCCCGGUAAAGGCAGCAGCAGCAGCCUCCUCCAACCAGCAGGAGCAGAGAAGAAGAAGCAAAGUGCGCGUCUUGCUCCUCCGCCGAAGCAGCUACCUACCAACCUAGCUGCUGCUGCUGCCGCCGUCGAUCGCCGGGGUAUGGCGCCGGUGGGUCUGCCGCCGGGUUUCCGGUUCCACCCGACGGACGAGGAGCUGGUGAACUACUACCUGAAGCGCAAGAUCCACGGGCUCCACAUCGAGCUCGACAUCAUCCCGGAGGUGGACCUCUACAAGUGCGAGCCCUGGGACCUCGCAGGUACAGUACGCACCACCGAUCUCAGUUCGCAUGUGAUCUCGAUCGCGUAUGUGUUGUGAACUGAUGCGAAUUACAACGUACGUCCUCAUGGCGUGCAGAGAAGUCGUUUUUGCCGAGCCGUGACCCGGAGUGGUACUUCUUCGGGCCGAGGGACCGCAAGUACCCCAACGGCUUCCGGACCAACCGGGCGACGCGGGCAGGGUACUGGAAGUCCACCGGCAAGGACCGGCGCGUCAUGACGCAGCAGCACCACGGCGGCGGAGGAGCCGGCGGGGGCGCGCGGGCAAUCGGGAUGAAGAAGACGCUGGUGUACUACCGCGGACGCGCGCCGCAGGGGGUGCGCACCGACUGGGUGAUGCACGAGUACCGCCUCGACGACAAGGACUCCGAGGACACCAUCGCCAUCCAGGUAUGUAUAAUCACCUUCAUUCUCUGAGUGACCUAUCCCGUCAUGCAAGGUGAUCAUGCAUGCAUGUCUAAUCUUCUCCUUCCAUGGAUGCAAUGGAAAGCUAUUUAGCUAGGGCUUUGAGAAAAAAUUGAUCCUUUUCUUUUGUGCUGGCCGGGCAAAGAAAAUUUUCUGCUUGCGUCUAAAAUGAAAGGAAGACGUAAAAUUUUCUGAGAGGAUUACAACAUGGCUUUUCUCCCGUCUGUAAAACGGUGUGGUAGUAGUAUGGGUCACUUUGCUUUGCUCCAGCUACUACUCUGAUGAGAGAGACAAACAUGUAGGCCUCGCCUUGCUGUCCAAAAAAUUUAACUAACAAAAGUAAAAGCCGGGGCCUUAGCAUUAGUAGUAUUUGUUCGUUCUCCAGCUACGUUCUUUGUUCUAAGAUAAGAGUAGUACGUACUCUGCGUGUUAACCAUGCAUGCUACGCUACGUUCUCUCUUUUUUUGGGGUGAGAUUAGAGCAGUCUGCACUGAUCAUGAGACGCUAAAGGGCCUUAACCAAAGCUAGAGAGCAAAGCAAAGCAAGCCCUCAUGCAUCUUGGCGCGAGAUAGCAGCUCGUGUCGAGUCAUGGCCAUAUGCAUGUCGGCGUCCUCCCGCGCUUUCCGCUUUAUUCCGUGCUGAAUCCCAUCAUCAUCCUCACACCCUUCUGAUUUUUCCAUGGCCGGCUAGUCUUCUUAUUUCUUCUCCCGCUUUGCUUUGAUAAUCGAUCGGCCUCUUUUUCUGAUUAACAAUCAACAAGAAUGUAUACAACACUAUGAUGGCACUCUGAUGGAUCAAAUUGCCCAAAACCCAAGGCCUGUUGACUACUAAUUGGCAGAAGUAACUGCACAUGAGAUAAUCAUGCAUCAGUGUGUGCAUAAACUUUCAAGAAAGUCUCGAGAAACCACAAUAGCAGAUGGAUCUUGUUUUUGCUUUUUCCUGUCAUGAGUUAAUAUACCAUGCAUGGUGGAUGGAUCAGGACACCUACGCGCUGUGCCGGGUCUUCAAGAAGAACGCCAUCUGCGCCGAGGUGGAGGAGCUGCAGGAGGGGCAGUGCAGCAUGGCACUGCUCGAGGGCGCCUGCCAGCAGCUGCUCGCCAGCAGCCGCACUGCCGGACAGGAGUACUACCAGACCCCGUCGCCCGACGUGCCCGCAGGGUCCACCUCCUGCGGUGCUGACGCCGACGCAGACGACGACGCUGACAAGGACGACUCCUGGAUGCAGUUCAUCUCCGAGGACGCCUGGUGCUCCAGCACCGCCGCCGAGGAGAGCACCUCCUGCGCCGGCUGAUCAUGCAUGCGGCCGGAGAGCUUCUUCUGUCGGUGGAAAUAAUCCUCCUGAUAUAUAUACCUAUAUAUUUUUCCUUUUUCUUUUUGUGAUCGGUGCUGCUGGCAAUUUAUCAAUAAUCACCGAGUGUUGAAGGUGAAAGAUCAAGCAGUAAUAAGGUAUAUAUAAUCCUUUUGGGUUCCAUCUUCCAGCGUAUUGCUGGGAGUUUGGGUAACCGAUCGAUCGAUGCUGGCCUCAAGGUGAAGGCUGUAAUCCUUCCUGGAGUUGAGCUCAUAAGGAGGAUUUAUAUUUAUAUGAUGAUGAUAGGAACAAUCAGACUACAUUUGUGUUUUUCUUCUUCUGUUCAUGCUUUCCUUGGUGUUCAUAUGUAUUAUUAAGCUUCUCGAUUGGAGGCUUUUUUUUCUCCUCUUCCUGUGAAAAAAGAAAGAGUGAGGCUAUGCCAUUCCAUAGCAUAUAUAGUUGUUGUGUGCCUCCCUAUAUGUCAAUAGAAUUGAACAAAAAUGUAACUGCUUGUACCUGACUGCUCAAUUUGCAUCAAUCUGCUCCAAACCUGGCACCUGGUUCUUAUUGCCUCAGUAAAUCCAUUAUUCGUAUGUUUAUCAAUAAAUAAGAAAAUAAAAUUGCAACUAAAUUAUGAUUUUUGGCAACCACAUUUGUGCCGUAAUUGUUUACAUGUAUUACUUUAGUAAAUAGGCCAAGCAUAUAGAUAUGAAAAAACAUUCUUUAUACUUCAUGACUCAUAAAAUAGAAAUCUCACAGUAAACCAUUUUACUUUUUUUAAAUAUAUAUCUUCAAAUGCUGAAAAUCUACCUUUUUUAGUAUAUCACAUGCAAAGCACUAUAUCCUGUAAACAUGGAAAAUCCUAUGCAACAGGUUCCGUUACAUGCUUGGAUUGCAAGGCAUGCAUCAGUACUGACGAAGAAGCUUAAUUGAACACUUCUGUGCACCAAAGCGUUGAAGGAAUACUAUUCUAGAUCAGAGGCUACCACAUGCUGUUGCCAGUAGCCCUAGAAUGUCAAUUAGAAUCCAUCUCAAGUCAAUAAAUAUAAGCCCAGAGCAGCUUUGUACUCUCAGUAAACAUACAGGUCUAUGACUGUAUUUUUCACAAAACCGUGUACUGCAACAAAGUAUUACCCGAGUGGUGCUCCAAUAACAUCUCUUUUUACCACAUGGCCAGGAAAGCUUCUAUGCAGAUCUCAGGCGAAAACAGUAAUGAUUUAUCAUCUUUCUGGGCAUCGUUCCGGCCUCACUGGUACCAGAGAAGACAGAACUAAAGUUCUGCAGUCUACCUUAUCGUGUCUUCACCGUGAAUCUUCGCUGCAAGCGUGUUGCCUCUGAAUCUUUUUCAGAAUGGCCCAGCAGGUCAAUAGUACCCUUGAACCGUUUCGCCGUUUGGAUAGUCACACCAACUGCAAAGUAAUUUGCAAAUCUACAUUUAGAAACAGAAUUUGCUUUAGACCACAUGCAUCUGAAGGCGAUGCCCUUCUUUUCAUGUAGAGAAUUGGGUAAGGCCACUCGCUGGCCUCUUUACAUGAGAUGCCAUCUGCUUCGUUGGCAUUGUAGUGUUGGAGGAGUUUAGGAGAAAAUAACAGCCAGUUUUUUAACGGAUCAUUUAUCCCCUUCAAAAUAAGGUUGCAGUACACAUAAAUAUUUCUUGCGUUAAGACUGAUCAUUUGAUCUUACUAAUCGAACGGCUUCCAUUCAAGAAAGAGAGGAUCUAGAUCAUUGCCGUUAAUUUCUUUGAACACAAGGAGCUUUCUAAUCAACUUAUGCUUCUGGAGGCAUUUGUAUGCUCAACUAGAAAUGUGAUGAUCGAAUGCACUCAAUUACUCCUUUGUCAGAAUCUAAAGCUAAAAGUUUUGUCUGAUCUAGAUGGCUGAAUGGCUAGCAAUGCAAGCUCAUUGACACUAUAGGGCCUCAUGGCUACAUGAACCUUUCCUUUUCCUUUCUGAAACUUUCUGUUUUACAAUGCUGAUCCCAAGACAGAUGCAUGUGGCAUAGCUCCCUACCCUUGUCUUUAGUCCUCUUCUUCUCUACGACACUUCAAAGAGGCUAAGCUUGUGAGGCACAAAAACAAGUUCAGUGGGCAAAAGAACAUGAUCUAAUGCAAGGUCCAGGCAGGCGGCAUCGUGACAACUUUCUCAUGCUGGUACAGCGCCCCUCCACGACCUACCAGCAUUGGAGAUCAUAAAAGUGUGUUAUCCAGAUAAAAAACAGAACAAAAGUCGGCUCCGUUAAAAGAAAUGAAAAGAAGAUCCUUCGGUGCUGUAAGACGUCCAGAGCCUGCUUGUGUGAGAAUCCUGGAAAGAGAGACACGGCUACUUGUAGGGCAGGCUUUGAAUCAUUUCACGAAGGGGCUAAAGAGCGCAGCAGCUGGACACGGUAGGGAAAGACAAAGGGGAAAGACAAAGAGAAAGAUCGGCAACAAAGGAGGAGGCGAACCAGGAGAUCAUGGCGCCGGUUGGUCUCCCCCCAGGCUUUAGGUUUCAUCCAACUGAUGAGGAGCUUGUGAACUAUUACCUCAAGAGGAAGGUCCAUGGCCAGAGCAUCGAACUCGACAUCAUCCCAGAGGUAGACCUCUACAAGUGUGAGCCUUGGGAGCUAGCAGGUAACCUGAAAAAUUAAACUCUGUUGUGUUGUUCAUCCUGUUGUCUAACUACUGCUGAGUCCUGAUUGAACUUGGGAUAUGUUCUUUGUUUCGGAAGAGAAAUCGUUCCUGCCCAGUAGAGACCCUGAGUGGUACUUCUUUGGGCCAAGGGAUAGGAAGUAUCCAAAUGGAUGCCGGACGAACCGAGCAACUCGGGCAGGAUACUGGAAAUCGACCGGCAAAGAUCGAUCCAUCAACUACCAGAAGAGGUCAAUCGGUAUGAAGAAGACAUUAGUCUUCUACCAAGGCCGAGCUCCUCAGGGGAUCAGGAGCAACUGGGUCAUGCAUGAGUACCGCAUCGAGGAAAGCGAAUGCAACAACACCAUGGGGGUUCAGGUUACUCCUUCAUUCUCCUCUCCUCACUUUCAGUAUCAGUUAAAUCAUUGUGUUUCUGCUACAUUUAGUGAGCUCAGGAUGCAGUUCAUAGUACUAAAAUCCAGCCAAUCUUGUAGUAAUCAUACCUUGGAAAUAUGCAGGAUUUUAGAGAUAUUGUCUUGCUAAAAUAAUUUUGUUUUUAUUAUAAACAGCAAAAAUAAAAUUGACAAUAAAAGAGGGAAAAAUUAGCUAGGGCAUACGCAAUUCAGGAAAACUACGUUGUUUAUGCAUGGAGUGCAUGAAAAGCUAGGGUUCUUAUCUCUUUUUCCCCGGCCCAUAUCCAUCAGCAUAAAGUAUUCCUUGCUUCCAUAGACCAUAGAUACUUUACAAAGUACAGCAGAAGUUCUUCUAAUGGGGUCACACAUGGUGCACUUUUUUUGGUACACUUGAUAAGACAAAUGUAACAUCCAAUCCUUGGUUUCUGAAUUGAAACCAUACUGUGUGACUGCAUAAGGGGUGCCACCACCGCCUCAUGAUGCAGGGUACACAUAAUCUAGGUCUUUUGCAUGUUGAUGCUACCUUAAAGCUUAGACAUCCUUCGGUGUGGCCCAGUGCUGUGUCGGUGGCUUUGCACUUUAUUCUCCAUGUCCCACUCCUACUUUACUUGGUAGUAAAACUGAACAUAAACUUCUGAUCCCAUGUAAACUGUAGAUUAGAUGGGAGAGCAGAGCACAGCAAACUUGCUAGCUAAAAAUUGUGCAUACUGGGCCAUCCUUUUCACAUUUCUGUGACUGUUUAUACAGUAAUAGUGUAGUACUAUUCAGAGUUUGUGCAUCGCUUCAUGUGACAACUAAAUUUGGUUACAUUUGGUCCAAACGUAACACACCAAAUACCCCACAAAAAACUCUUCAUAAGUGUGGAUGGUUGAUCAUAUUCUAAUAGACUAUUGGGUAGCAGCAUACUACAGUCAGCACUGAACUUGCAUAUCAUUUCCUGCUGCACAUAAUGCUGAAUUCUCUGGAGAUUCAUUUCCAAAGAUUGGUAAUAAACAAGGUUUAUUUAGCUAGAAACCCAGAAUUCUAUCAUGAAAAGCCAAGAGUAGCUAAUGAUAAGCCCUACAAAAGAGAACAAGAAAAAAAGCAGGAUGCGAACCCCGAUCCAGCACAUGUAUGAACAUAGAACGUUAUUUGAACGUAUAGAUAUAGCACAUGUACCAGAGCAGCAAAGUCCCCAACACAAUGAAGCAGCAGCAUCUACACGGUUUAUAAGUUUGAAGAUGCAAGUGUAAAACAGAUAUUCUAUUAUUAGAACGCAAAUAACUAAUUGUGAGUCUUAUAGAAAAAAAUUAAGAAAAAUAGAAAACAGACCCCAAUCCACCGCACAUAAACAUAGAAGGGCAUUCAAAUGUAUAGAUAUAGCACAUUAGCACAUGUAACAAAGCAGGAAAAGUCCCCAAAAUAAUGAAGCAGCGUCAUCGACACAGUUUAAGUUUGCAGCUGUAAAUUGUUCAGUAAAGCAGAAAGGUUAGAAUGGCAUUAAUUUUACAUCCAUAUGAUUCAAAUUAUAAGGGCAUAACGUUAUUUGAGCAGCAAAAUGCCCUGGCAUAAUGAAGAAGCAUAACUGACACAGUUUAAGUAUACAGUUGUAUAUCAUUCAGUAAAGCAGAAAGGUUAGCAUGGCAUUAAUUUUACAUCCAUAUGAUUCAAAUUAUAAAGAUAUAACGUUAGUUCAGCUUUUAGAUAUAGCACAGCAAAAUUCCCCGGCAUAAGAAAGAAGCAUCAUUGACACAGUUUAAGUAUGCAGCUGUGUAUUGUUCAAUAAAGCAGAAAGGUUAGCAUGGAAUUAAUUUUCCAUCCAUGUGGAACAUAAGAGACAGUUUGUUCCAUGUGAAAGCAAAAAAAAGGGGAAUGAGGUUUUGUUGUUCAUCUUUCUUGUUCUUUUACAGGACUCCUAUGCGCUAUGUCGGGUUUUCAAGAAAAAUGUGCCGGCUGGUGAAUUUGAAAAACAAGGGGAAUGCAGCUCAUCACAGGCUAAAGCAAAUCAAGAACAGGUUACAGACUUCGAGGAUGCUGGAGAGUCCUCAACUGCAAACGAGAAUGACAAAGACAAUUCUUGGAUGCAGUUCAUAGUGGAAGACCUGUGGUGCAGCAACAAAACCAAGUAAUGAACUAGAGAAUGCAGCUUGCUCAACAUGAUCUAACCAGAAAAUCCAGCACUAGUUACACUGUGUAUCUUUGUAUAUGUUUGAUAAAAACACUUCUCACUUUGGACAGUAUGAACACUUAAGUUUGGACUCUGAUUCUUGAUGUAGGCUUAUACUUCUCUUCUUUUGGUAAUGUAAUAUACAAAUGGGCUACUUUGUACUUGAAGUCUUCUUUUACCUGUAUCUACCAUCCAAUGCAAUGAUUUGUAGUGAAAGCACUAAUACAAAAGGCAGAAACUUAGUUCAAUGUAUCUUAUUCUGUGAACAGUUUUCAUGUUCCUAAAUUUUUUUGUAAUAUCAGUUUAUAAUGAUUUUAAGGGUAUCAGUCUCAAAUGUAAAGAGACCAAAGCUACUAAUACCAUUAGCAAUCACCAUUACCGACUAAUAAAAUUCAACUCAGAAAUGUAAGGUGCCAAUAUGGUAGUUAAUCGUUCUUAUUAAUGUUCAAAGGUUCCUGAGUUGCAAAAUGUAUACAAGUGGUGCUAUUGUCAUGUUCGUCAAUAGCCUAAGCUCGAUACGUGUGAAAUAAAGAAUAGCGUAAGCUACAUACAGUUUUCAGACUGUUUUCCAGAUGUAGGUUCUAACUAAAGCUGUUUAGAUAUCAUUAUACUCGCUUGGCCAUUUCAAGGCUGAAAGCCUGAAAUCUCCGCACUCAGGUUAUCAUAAAAUCCUUGGAUACAUGGCUGCAUGGGUUGCUGAAAACCAAACACAGAACCCGUCAACCUUUAUUUAUGCGCCUUUAGCACCAUAAUGUGUCGUAUAUUUUCCUAUCAUCUGCCUCUGAACAUGUUCAGUUCAUAUGCAUUUUCAGCCAAAGAAACAAGAUGGUUAAAUGGUUAUUGCAAUUCAAGAAGGUGUCAGGUAGUCAAAAUCUACUUUUAGCCGAAGAAAUUAGCUGCCUCUUACCACAAUUAAAAAAGAUGUUUCACAUAGUCAACAUCUAUUUUCAAAAUCAGGCAAAGAAAUCAGUUGCUUCCCAUCCCAAUCCAAGGCUAGCUAGUAUAAUUGUUUAUAUACUGUAUCAUAGUACUGGUUUGAUCAUUUCAAGGCUGUGAAAGCCAGAAAUCUCAGCACCCAGACAAUAACAAAUUCCUGGGAUAUAUGGCAACAUGGGUAUCUGUAAACCAAACCCAGACCCCAUCAACCUAAUCCACACUGGUUCAUGUUUCUCCAUGAUGCAUUCAGUUCAUAUAUCUUAUGAUCUUAUCAGCCAAGGAAAUCAACUGUGUUCUUGCCAGUUACCAACAUCAAAAAAGUUGGGUCAGGUAGUCAAAAUAUAAUUUCAGCCAAAGAAACCAGCUGCUCCUUACCAUAAUUCAAAAGGUAGUCCGUUGGCCGAUGUCCAUUUUCAAGAACAAGCAAAGAAAUCAGCUGGUUCUUAUCACAUUCAGAAUGUUGUCAGACAGGCAACACCUAUUUUAAAUAACAAAGUAAGGAAAUUCCCAUCACAGUUCAAAUGUUAUGAGGAGUCCUGAUUGGUAGCGCGUCCAAAUUGCAACCAAUAAAGCUGGUAGUAUGAACUACCAAAUCGAAGCUGUGGCUGAUCAUGACAGCUUUUGCAAAGACAUCGAGAUGGUAAAGCAGAUCUGUACCGAGAGGUCGCGGGAGCAGCAAAGUGGGUCGAUUCGGGGCAGAGGCGAGCACGCGAUCCCAACUCAAGGCCCCCCAUGGCGGCGGCCGCGUUCCACCGCCGCGGCACGACAGCCCUCAUCCCCGCGGUCAGCGGCGACCUCGGCUCCAAUCUGUUUCGGAAGCAAGAGUCAUGGGCCGUGAACGAAAACGAAGGGGGAAAGGAGAACAGAAUGCACCUCGGGUGUUCGACGAAAUGGCUGUAUGGAAACAGGUUUUGGGCUUACCUGCGCCGCCGCUUUGCCGGUGCAGACGAGCCGUUCCGUUCUCCUCGGUUCUCCGGCUGCUGGGUGGAUCGGUGUCAAUCGAUGGAUUUGGAAUUGGAAUUUGAAUCAGCUCGAAGUGGGCGUUUCACGAUUCGGGGACGGAAAUGCAGGGAUGGUUCAGAAUAGCACUGAAAUUCAGAGACGGGCAAUGGGGAAAAGUUAGCAUGCCGCGCACAUCCACAGCAACAGAGCAAGAGAUUGAAGGAAGAAUUCAGGGAUAAAACAGCUCAAAUGCCUUUCACAGUUCAGAGACUUCAGAUGGGGAAUCAGACCAGGCGAUGGAUGGGGGGCAGAGAAUGCAAAAUCAGCGAACGCACUGGAAGGCAUUCACAUCAGAAGAAUUUCAGGGAUAAACUGCUGCAAUUUCCAUUCCAAACUUCUUCCAGUACAUCUCUACAACAGCAACAUCAGCUCACAAGACGGGAGCAAACACCAAGGAGAUACCACUGCUCUUGCACGGAGAACCACGAACCCUAGACAGCAACUAGAUAGAUAGCACUACUACUCUCGGUCGGACGGCGGCGUCGCGAGCUGGAUCGAUGAACCCUCGGCCUAGCCUCCGAAGCCGUAGAGGGUGCGGCCCUGGCGCUUGAGCGCGUAGACGACGUCCAUGGCGGUGACGGUCUUGCGGCGGGCGUGCUCGGUGUAGGUGACGGCGUCGCGGAUGACGUUCUCGAGGAAGAUCUUGAGCACGCCGCGGGUCUCCUCGUAGAUGAGCCCCGAGAUGCGCUUCACGCCGCCCCUGCGCGCCAGCCGCCGGAUCGCCGGCUUGGU
This 50512-nucleotide long non-coding RNA is filed under the name Triticum aestivum (bread wheat). RNAcentral describes it as "long non-coding RNA (TAES_LNC009129)". Lineage: Eukaryota; Viridiplantae; Streptophyta; Magnoliopsida; Poales; Poaceae. The record is from RNAcentral.